Molecule: long non-coding RNA, 45834 nt
Filed under: Citrus maxima (pomelo)
Lineage: Eukaryota; Viridiplantae; Streptophyta; Magnoliopsida; Sapindales; Rutaceae
Description: long non-coding RNA (CMAX_LNC003203)
Source: RNAcentral
ACAAACAAAUAAGUGUUGGCGGUAACGUUUAUAGAAUGCAGAACGAAAGAACACAGAAUCCAUUCUUCCCUUCUACAAAUAUGAGAACUUACUUUUCCCUCAAGAAACCACUCUGCAUUUAGGCCACGGUAACCAGGAAAAGCGAUAGGUAGAAGCAUUGUAUAAACCCAAGAGCAAUACAGUAAGAUAUAGAGAAUAUGAGGUCUUGUAUGACAUGAAACUGAAGAAUGAACAGCGUGACUCUGUCACUCUGAUGGUAGCCGUCUCCUCUUUCCAUAGUCCACAUCUCUCGAUCGAGAUCUGUGGUCUUCAUCCGGGAUUGCUCGGGACCUGCUCCGAGAUCUUGAAGACGAUUGCCCCCUGUCCCAGUUGUCAUCAUAAGUUGAGUCACGAUCUCUUUGUCGACGAUCACGAUAACUAUCUUUUUCUUCCCUAUGUCUGUGAUCUCUGUGAUCCCUUUCAGAUCUGUCCCAGUCUUGUUCCCUCUCCUCUCGGUGCCUCCUAUCUGUGUUCCCAGACCAGUCACGCUCAGAACCACGAUCCUUUUCCCGGGAGGCAGCAGUUGACCUUGCUCCUUUUUCAUGAUUUGCCUCCCCAUACCCAUAAUCAGAAGCACCAUCAUCACCACCAUAACUUGACUCCCUUGUCCUUCGUCCAUGUUCCUCUCCUACCCAUCCACCCAUGCUUGAGUCAGUCCACAUCCCUGGAUGCGGUCCAUCCAUUCCAGAAGAACCCAUCAUACCCAUCCCAUUAGCUGCCAUUCCUCGGUUAAAGAAUGCUGGGUUGACAUGAGGAGCCACCCCAGCAAGGCCCAUUGCAUUAACAGCAGGAAAUGAAGGAAGCAUCCCAGGAAAACCUGGACCCGAAAAACCUCCAUAAGCACCUCCUCGACCCAUGUAUGUUGGAUCAAACCCUCCCAUCAUAUUCUGUGGAUGCAUCAUACCACCCGCAGGACCCCCAAAGCCAGGACCUGCAAGGCCUUGUCCAUAACCUCCACCAGCAGCAGGUCCAGCACCGCUUCCAGCUCCAGAACUACUCCCAAUCAUGUUCUUUGCACCCAUGGGCCCUCUUCCCCUCAUCGCUCCACCACCAGGACCUCUGUUGGGUACACCCUGCCCACCUCGUCCCCAGCCGCCCCUUCCAAAAUUCCUACCUCCAUCACCACUCUGAUAAUUCAUGUUACCACCUCUCCCACCACCGUCGUUCAUAGGUCUCCUUCCCUGAGUCUGUGACUGAGGCUGGCCUUGGUUUUUGUUCAUGUAAGAAGCUCCCAUCUGUUUCAAUGUUUGAGGAGAAGCAAAAGCCACAACACAUGGUCGUCCAUUGAAAACAUGACCAUUCAUUCCAUCUUUGCACGCAGCUGCAGCAGCUGCAUCAAAGAAUUCGACUUGGCAAUAACCUUUGGAUUUACCACUAGCUCUCUCAUCAAAAAACUUAAUCUCCUUGACCCUUCCAUACUGAGACAAAACACUUUCAAGCUCCGCAUCAGUUGUCCACCAAUGUAAUUCUCCCACAAACAGCAUUGUCCCACCAUUCUCUAGAGGAGGCCGGAUUUGAUUCUCAUUCACCAUUGCACGAUUGACAUUUAUAUUCACACCCAUUUGAUUAGCUGGAAUCAGAGCACCUUGAGGACCAGCAGCACCGGGAUUUAGCACAGGUGCAGGCUCAUUGGCUACUCUUCCCGGCACAUUAGAAGGAUCAACUCCAGUUCUUGGGGGACCUGACGUAGACCCUUGAAAACCCAUAUUUCUAACAUGGGCAUCAUGAGUUGUCUCUUGGACACUCCCUUUCUGUGAAACAGAAGCUCCAUCUGGGUAAUUACCAGAUCCCAUGUUUGGUCUGUUGACAGCAACCUGCACAUCAUUCUGAGCAGGAAAGUGGGACCCAGCAUUGGUGUACUUUCCUUCAACAGAAACCCCAGGGACGUUUGACCCUUGUGAGACCCCAGCUUGAACUUGUUGCUCGGGAACAUCAGUUUUCUGAACUUGAAGUCUUCCAUUGCCCACACCAGCGGAUGGGGGAGGUGCCUCAGGCUGCUGAAACUGCAAUAAACCAUCUCCGACAUUAACAUCAUUAUAUAGAUCAUCAUACUCAUCAUCUUCUCCCAUCAACUCUUCAUCUGCAAGAGCAGGUAUAGCUCCACCUCCCUGAUACUGCAUCUUUUGAGCCCCUCCAUACUCGUCCUCCUCAUAAUCUAUUUGUUCUUCAGCCAUCGAAUCCAUUUAAGCUGACCAAGUUACAUCAAAAUAAAGAAAUAUUAUCUCUAUUCCUCCCAUGCAGAACUAUGAACAAAGAUAAAAGACCACUCAAAAUUGUUCUGCUUCUCUACAUCAACAGGUUUUAGAGCCAAAGAUCACCAAUAUUAAAGACCAACAUAGCUCAAAUUUAAGCAGAAUGUGAUUCAUAUGUAUAAACACAUAAUCAACACUUAUUAAUACAAAAGAUCCAUCACCCACCAAGGAAUACAUUUAAGAACCAUAAGAAACACGUCACCAUCCAUCCUAUAACAUAAAAAAAAAAAAAAAAAAAAAAAAACACAAAUCUGCAACACCCGCCGGGUAAAAUUACAUGAAUUACACAGAAACCCUACCCACAAGUGCAAAAAUAACAUAAAAAGGACAAAUCUCCAACACCCACUUCAUGAAGUCAAAAGGACACAAAUCCUUAAAAACCUGUCAAAUUACAUCAUCCAGUAAACAAAAAAUUACAUAUACAUUUCACUACAACGAAACUGAAAAACAUCGGAUAAGAAAAAAAAAAUUAACAAAACGCAGAAUCGAAUCGGGUUUUAUUUAGGUACCCUUACUCUUCUCCCCUCUGAAGAUGUAUGUUUUAUUAACCCUUUAGCUUAAAAAACUAACAGCGCUUGAGCAAAUUGUAUUCACCUUUCUCUUGUUCUUUGAUUUCUGUUUGUAACUCUGUUUUCUGCGCUGGUUGUACAGUGAAACCCUUAUGGAUUUGAUUCAGGUUUCGUCUUUCCCAGUCGGGCGAAUGGCCAAAUACGUGAUAUCUUAAGUCUCUAUAGAUUUAAUAUUAGUUAAAUAAAUUUUUAACCAGCCUUCUCGUAAUUUCCAAGAGUUUAUAGUGGAGAGUUUUCACCGAACUAAAUUUCAUGCUAUUUUCAUAUUUUUCAUUUGUGUAAUUAUACAUUUUACUAUCAUAUAAUUUCCUCAAAAUGAAAUAUUUUAUGAAAUAUUAAAAUAAAAAUUUGGAAUACCUAUUAUUAAUAACCAUAGACAUUUUACAUCUUAACAUUUCAACUGAAAUAAUGUGUUGCAUAAAGUUACUAGAUCAUAUAUUUUUAUAUGUAUUAUUAUAUCAUUUACUUCAUUGAUAACACAUCACUUAACAUAAAAUUUUAUUAUACUUAAUACUAUUAAUAUUAUAAAAUUAAAUAUUAUCCCAUUAACUAUUUAUUAUUGUUAUUAUUAUUAUUUUAGAAAUUACAAUUAACUAAGCAUUAGCUUAGUUAAUGGUAAUUAAUAUUUUCAUCCCAUACCUUCCCUACAAUUUAAUUCAAGUGGUUAACUAAAGAAAACAGUGGUUAAGCUCAUAUAAGGAAAAACAAAUUGUCAUGGUUUAUAUGAUUCAAUGUAUUAUUAUUUUAAUUUAAUACUUCUACACAUGGAGAUAACUAAAUUUAAUACUCCUACACGUGGAGAUAACUUUUUUGUAUAUGUCUUAGUAAUGUGAUUGUUUGUAUAUGUCUUAGUAAUGUGAUUGUUACUUAUAUGCAAUAUAAUGUCAUUAGUUAAAAAGUAGGACUAUUUAUACCCUAUAAAAUAUUUUGAACACCCUUUAUUAAAAUUUUAAUAUAAAUUUAUACUUAACACACCCUCUUCACACCGAUGAAAAUAUUUUUCUCACAAAACUAUGUUUCUUUUCCUCAAAAUUGCUAAGUGCGUAAUAGCUUGACAUUAUGCAUACAUAUAAGAGCACACAUACAUAUAAUCAUAUGUUCUUAAAGUUAAUAUUGGCGGGAGGGUAAACUUGAUUUAAAAUUUCAUAAAUGUUAAUGUCCUCAAUCUUAAGCUUUAUGCAUACAAUUAUGAAUAUUUAAUCUCUACUCAUAAAAACUAAAAAGGGAGGAAUAAAGAACAAACAUUUGUAAGUUCUUGACAUUAAUGGUGCGUUUACUUCAUGAGAAUGUGAAUAAUGUGGAAUGGGAAUGGGUUGGAAUGGGAAUGAAAUUUCAAUGACAAAAAUAAAUGGGAAUGGGAAUAUACUGGAAUACCAUUGAUGUGUUUACUUGACAAAAUAAAUGGGAAUGAGGAAUGAGAAUGAGAAUCAAUUUACCAAAAUAUCCAUAGUAUUAAUAAUUAAUAAAAAUAAUUAAUUUAUCAUUAUUAACAAUAUUAUCAUUAUUGUUUUUGUUGUUGUUAUUAUUAUUAUUAUUAUUAUUAUUAAAAAUCAUUAAUAAUAACUAAAAUAAAAAAGUUAAUAAAAUUUAAUAAUAAUAAUAAUAUAAUUAUUAUUAAAUUAUAUUAACUUUAUUAUUUUAGUUAUUAUUAAUUAUUGUUAAUAAUAUUUUUAUUAAUAUUAUCAUUAUUAACAUUUAUUAUUAUUAAAUUUUAUUAACUUUUUUAUUUUAGUUAUUAUUAUUUUUAUUUUUAUUAAUAUUAUCAUUAUUAAAUUUAUUAUUAUUAUUUUUAUUAUUAUUAAAUUUAUUAUUUUAGUUAUUGUUAAUUACUGUUAAUAUUAUUUUUAUUAAUAUUAUCAUUAUUAACAUUUAUUAUUAUUAUUAUUAACUUUAUUAUUUUAGUUACUAUUAAUUAUUGUUAAUAUUAUCAUUAUUAACAUUUAUUAUUAUUAUUAUUAUUAUUAACUUUAUUAUUUUAUUUAUUAUUAAUUAUUGUUAUUACUAUUUUUAUUAAUAUUAUCAUUAUUAACAUUUAUUAUUAUUAUUAUUAUUAUUAUUAUUAUUAUUAUUAACUUUAUUAUUUUAGUUACUAUUAAUUAUUGUUAAUAUUAUCAUCAUUAACAUUUAUUAUUAUUAUUAUUAACUUUAUUUAUUAUUAAUUAUUGUUAUUACUAUUUUUAUUAAUAUUAUCAUUAUUAACAUUUAUCAUUAUUAACAUUUAUUAUUAUUAUUAUUAAAAUUAAAUUUUAUUGAAUUUGUUAUUUUAGUUAUUAUUAUUUUUAAUAAUAAUAAUGAUAAAUGUUAAUAAUGAUAAUAUUAAUAAAAAUAAUAAUAACUAUAAUUAAUAAUAACUAAAAUAAUAAAGUUAAUAAAUUUUAAUAAUAAUAAUAAUAACAACAAUAAGGAUAAUAUUGUUAAUAAUGAUAAAUUAAUUAUUUUUAUUAAUUAUUAUUUUUAUCAUUAUUUUUAUUGUAAAUAAUGAUAAUAUUACUGAUAAUAAUAAUAAUAAUUAAUAAUAACCAAAAUAAUAAAGUUAAUAAAAUUUAAUAAUAAUAAUAAUUAUUAUUAUUAAUGACAUUUAAAAUAAUAUUAUUAUUUGUGAUUUGAAUAAGGGUAAUUUAGGAAAUAUGAAAAAAUUAGAAGGAUAGAAAAAUAAAUUUAUGUUUUAUUAUCAUUCCCAACUCCCCAUGGGAAUGUGAUUCGCAUUCCUUAUUUCAGAUUGUGUGGGACCUACACAUUUUAUUCUCAUUUCCAAAUUACAUUUUGUUAAGUAAACAUAUGUUUCAUUCUCAUUCCUUCAUUCUAAUUCCCCAAACCCAUAAGUAAACACAGCAUAAGAACUUAUUCAGAUGAAUAUUAAUUUUGUCUCACAUUAAUUACAGUCUUUUUUUAUCCGUCUCAUUCCAUAAAACGAAUGGAAAUAUACUACUCCGUUCAAUAAUGCUAUUCCUCACAACUCUACCAACUCCAAUGAAGGAGACAAAGUUAAAUGUGUAAAACGCACUAAAUGCAUGCUUGGAUCAUAAAAGGGAGUUGCUUGAAGCCUUGAACCUGUAAAAUAAGAGUAAUGAUGCAGCAGGAUUUUGUAGCUCUGCUUUUGUAGGAAUCAUGGGACAUGUUGCGAAUAUGAUUGGUGAUGAAUAUUGCAUGGAGAUAAUCACAUAGAUAAAUGUUGUUGAUUCCACAUAGUUUAUCGGUGAUAAUAAAGUUAUAUCAAACUCUAAUAGAAGGGUAUAGUUAAGAAUAAUAUUUUAUUUCAUUGCAUAAGACACUCUUUAGUUAUAAAAUCGAAGUCGAGUGUUCAUAAUAUUUUUUACGAUGUAAAUAGCCCGCCCAUGAUUAAAAAUAUAAAAUUAACAAGGACUUAUAUAAAGAUCUUUAUGUGCAGGUAAAAUAUGAAUAGGACGAGGGAAAGUGAUUAUAAUAAUAUUAUAUCAUAGAAUUUAUAUGUUUACACAUUAAAAAAAAUGGUUGAAUCAUUUAAAUAGAGACUUGGUAACGUAGAAAACUGAAGUAAAAUAACAAGAAUUUUGUUAAAUCAAAGACGAUUUGGUUGGAAUUUGGCAAAGAAAUGGAACCCUAAUUUUUACUAAAAUUAGGCAAAAGAAAGCUUCUUCCCAAUUUGUUAAGUAAAUUCCUAUUUACCAGCUCAGAAUGGCUAUCCUGAGUUUGUGGAAAUAAAGCAACGGGUGUCACCACAAGAUAUGAUGAAUUCCCCUAAUCAAGGACAAACCCAUCACCAUAAAUAAACCCGACAAUCUCUUCCUCAAAUCAUCCCCAGCAUUUGAACGAUCUGCAUUGUUCUCUAUAUUCAGUAGAGAACCUUGCAUAUAAGGGGACAAAAAAUUAAAAAUAAUAAGACGAAAAACACAAACCCCAUCGUACAUGAUGGCUCGCCAGGUCAUUGUUCUUGCUCUCAUUUUUGUAGCCAUUAUCAGUGUGGCCUCAGCCCAGCAGGAACCCAUUAUUCAGCCACAACCCAAUGAACCCCAGCAGCCUAAUCAGCCGCAGGAACCCAAUCAGCCUAACCAACCCCAGGAACCCAAUCAGCCUCAGGAACCCAAGCAGCCUGAUCAGCCACAGACACAGCCACCUACCCAGCAACCACAGCAGCCCCAGCAGCCAAAUCAGGCACCCGGUGAGGCACCAACACAGGCACCUCCAGCCGGUGGUGCACCCGCACCGGCACCCGGAGAAGCCCCAGCAGGAGGCCCAAGCAGUGGACCAGCUGCUGGACCUGGACCUGCAGAAGGCCCCUCUGGCGAGGCUAAGUUGCCUGAGGUUGCAAUGCCAGGACCAGUGGGCGAGGGAGAUGAGAACAAGUCGGAAGGGAGUGGUGCAAGCUCCCUCAAAGUCUCCGCCCUCGUCGCUGGUGUUGCAGUCGCUGCUGCUUUCUUCUACUAAUCAUGAGCAAAUUAGCUACGUCUACAAAACCACGUACCCGAUUGACUAACAUUCGUCGGUUGUCUACCGCAAAGCUCAUUUGAUAUAUGGAUUUGUUUGUCAUUAAAAUUCGAGGUUUUACGUAUCAUGAUGAGUUUUAAAAUAUUGUGGAUUGGAGAUAUUUGGAUCUAUCAUUGGAUAAUUUCUAAGUUUAACCAAUUUUUAUCAUCAUAUGUGCCUGUGGGUGCCUCUUCCGAGUUGAGGCUCGUAUAUAAAAAUAUUAUCCAUUGUUUACGUCCUGCAGGCUGCAUGGCGACUGAUCGAUGCAUGUCUUUAUCUUUGGUCAAUUGCCUUUUGUUCUUUAUGGAAUAGGGUGGUGCUUAAUCCUGAAGAAAUGAAAUUGCUCGCAUUCAAUCACAAUAUUGUCACGAUUUGCUUUAAUUUAAAGAUUUUAUUAAUCCCGCCUAUUUAAAUAAAUAAUAUCCUGGCUUUAAUUUAUUGAGAUGAAAUUAAAACGAGACUUUGGAAUCCCUGAUCAGACGACGAGCGCUUGUUGCAGCAAGCAAUAAUAAAAGGUGGCGAACCAAGUGAAUGAAAUAUAUAUCCGGAUCCCCUGAGUUACAGUUAACGCAACUUACAGGAGCUGCUUUAGUCUUCUCUGAAUUGUCGCCGUAAAAUAUCGUGGAGCCCCUGUACUUUAUAUUAUUGAAAAUUUAUAAAUAUAAGUAGGGUUAUUUUUAAAGACCUCCCCUGAGGUUUAGUGUACUUACAGUCGGAUAGAAAGUAUGCAUGUAAUUAUAGGAACCUCCCCUAACGUUAGUAUUCAAAUACGUAUGGCAUCAGUAUGUAAGGGUAAAUGUGUAAACAUAUAUUUAAAAUUAAAAAAAAAAAUCAAAAGUGAGAUGAUUUUGUUGAUUCGGCUCUUUCACAGCCCUUCAAAGGAGCCAACAUCAUCGGGACCCUCACAGCUCUCAACGCCGAAGUCCGCUGGUGGUCCUGCAAUAUCUUCUCAACCCAAGACCACGUGGCCGCCGCCAUCGCACGUAACUCAGCCUCCGUCUUCGCUUGGAAGGGCGAGACCCUCUAGGAGUGCUGGUGGUGCACAGAGAAAGCUCUGGAUUAGGGUCGCGGCGGCCCAGAUCUCAUCAUUGACGACGGUGGUACGCCACGUUGUUGAUCCACGAGAGGGUCAAAGCUAAGGAGAUCUACGAGAAGACCCGGAAGCUACUCGACCCGGCCUCCACCGACAACGCCGAGUUUCAGAUUGGUUGUACCAGAUGCAAGAAAAUGGAACCCUCUCGUUCCCUACCAUCAAUGUCAAUGACUCUGUCACCAAUAGUAAGGUAAUUUACUUUGAUUUGCUUCAGAUCUCAAAUUUAUUUUAUACUAUCAAUUCAUUAAAUGUUUGAAAUAUUGGAAGAAAUUAAAUACUAAUGUUUGAUAAUGCAAUGGGGGAAACAAUUUGAUGACUUGUAUGGAUGCCGCCACUCGCUCCCAGAUGGUUUGAUGAGAGGUUUUGAUGUUAUGAUUGCCGGAAAGGUUGCUGUUGUUUGCGGUUAUGGUGAUGUUAGCAAUGGUUGUGCUGCUACUUUGAAGCAAGCCGGUGCAUGUGUAAUUGUAACUGAGAUUGAUCUGUACUAGGAAGUUAGGUUUAAAUUUCGUAGGAGUGUGUGUUUGGGUGGUGGGAAAGUUGAAGGAAAGAAAUAGAUUGGUUUCAGUUGAUUGAAGACCAUUUGGGAUUUGAAUAAGGUUAUGGAUGGAGCUGUGUGGAUCAUUUUGUAUUUGAUGCAGUUUUAAAGUUUUGCUUGCUUUGCUGCAUCUUGUUAUCCUAUUAUUUACUUAUGAAUGAUUAAAAAAAUUUUGUUUGGAGGUCAAGAAAAAACGAGAGAAAAUUUCAAUGAAAACGGAGAAUCAGUCUAAAAAAUAACUUAUCAUUUUGAGGAGAAGGGUACUUUUGUAAUUUUAACGGUCUACUAACAGUCAAACUAACUGGAUACUAACGUCAGGGGAGGUGCUUGUAAUUACGUGGAUACUUUCUAUCUAACUGUAAAUACACUAAACCUCAGGGGAGGUCCCUAAAAAUAACCCAAUAUAAGUAUUACGAAACUUUCUGUAUUGUAAAAUUUUGUUCAGACUCUUGCACUCUAUUUUAUUUCAUUGAAACCUUCAGAGUAUCAAAUUCAUCCCCUAUAAUUUUUAAAUUCUCAAAAUACCCUUCAUUUAAGUAAAAUAUCAUUAUUAUUAAAUGGAUUAUAGUUAUAAUUACAAUUAAAAUAAUUAUUUUAUUAUAAUUAUAAUUAUAAUUUUUAAAUGGAUUAUUAUAAUUAUUAUUAAUAACAAUAAUAAAAAGUUAUAAUUAAUUAAUCUAUUAACAAUAAUUAAUAAUAAUUUUUAUUUAAAUUGUUAAUAAUAAUAAUUAACAAUAAUUGUUAUGAAUAAUUAAUUUUUGAAUAAUAAUAAUCACAAUAAUUAAAAUAUAAAAUAAUAAUUAUGAUAAAAAUUAAUUAAGGAUUUUAUAAUAACCUUCAAGGAUAUUAAUCAUCGACAAAAUUUUUAAGGAUAUUAUCAUUCAUCUUCUUUAUAAUAUCAUCUCAUAAUAAUUAAUAUUUUCAUGAUAAAAGGAUUAACAAAAUAAAAAGUAAAUUUCCUUUGAAUUCAUCCAUUUCCACUAUUAACUUCUUUUCAUAAGCAACCUUCAUUGAUAAUUGAAGCCAUCAUUAGACUCAUCAUAGAGAAAGAGAGUGAGAGUGCGGAAGAAGAAAUGGGGAAAAAAAUGAAAUGUUUACAAUUUUAUAGUGUAUUCACUAAACAAUAAUCAAAAUUAGCUGGAAACAUAAUGAGUUAGAAUCGAAAUGAGAAAUUGGAAUCAGAAUAAUUUAUUUACUUGAAUUGCAAGAAUCGUAAUUACAAUGAGCUAUAUUACUAUUUAUAUGUUUUACUUUGUUUUAGAAUCAAAAUCGGAAUGAGUUAAAUUGUAACAAAUUAAUAUAAACAAAUCCUUAAUUAAUUUUUAUUGUAAUUAUUAUUUUGUAUUUUAAUUAUUGUGAUUAUUAUUAUUAUUCAAAAAUUAAUUAAUAAUAAUAAUUAUUGUUAAUUAUUAUUAUUAUUAACAAUUUAACUAGAAAAUUAUUAUUAAUUAUUGUUAAUAGAUUAAUUAAUUAAUUAUAAUACUUUAUUAUUAUUGUUAUUAGGGAUAUUAUCAUUUUCCCACCUAAGGUAUUCUGACACAUCAUGUCAGUACCACGGUUUGGUAAAACUAUCAAUUUACCACCAAACGUUUAAACUGUUAGCAUUUUCCCACCAUUCCGUUAAAACUCAUUUAAUAUGUAACGGAAAAUUUCUAAAAGGUCAAUUUUACCCCUGGAGUAUAAAAAACCAUGUAAUUAACCUUUUAUGAAUUUUGUAAUUAAAUCAUCAUUUGUUGUUCUUCAUUCUUAAAGGACAAAAAUUACCAUUUAUGAAUUUUGUAAAAUUGACCAUGUGGUAUUAGGUACUUCAUAAAUUGAUUUAAUUGAUUUAAUUUUUAAAGGGCAAAUUUAUUUAUUUAAUUUUUUGUGUAAAAUUAUUAUCAUCAUAUCAAAGAUUAAAUUGCUUCUUUUGCACAUUCUUUUUUUUUUCCCUUUCAUAAAUUGAUGUUUAGUAGUAGAAUAAAUUGUCUUUAGCUCGACAAUUUAAUAAAUAAAUUUGACCUUUAAAAAUUAAAUAAAUUAAAUCAAUUUAUAAAAGUACCUAGCACCACAUGGUCAAUUUUAUAAAAUUUAUAAGGGGUAAUUUUUGUCCUUUAAAAAGGAAGAACAACAAAUGAUAAUUUAAUUACAAAAUUCAUAAAAGGUUAAUUACAUGGUCUUUUACACUUCAGGGGUAAAAUUGACCUUUUAUGAAUUUUCUGUUACAUAUUAACGGAGUUUUAACGGAAUGGUGGGAAAAUGCUAACAGUUUAAACGUUUGGUGGUAAAUUGAUAGUUUUACCAAACCGUGGUACUGACAUGAUGUGUCAGAAUACCUUUGGUGGGAAAAUGAUAAUAUCCAUUGUUAUUAAUAAUUAUUAUAAUAAUCCAAUUAAAAAUUAUAAUUAUAUUUAUAAUUACAGUUAGGGGUGGGCGUUUGGAUCGGGUUAACCUGAACCGAACGAAACCCGAAAUUUUAUUUUGGUCUCGGUUUGGUUUGUGUUAACUAUAAAAAUCCAAAUGGAUUCAAAUUUCCAACCGGUUCGGCUUGGAUUUCGGUUCGGGUUGAACCCGAAUCGAAAUCGAGACCAGAUCGGGUUAAUUGAAAAAAAUAAAUAAAUAAAACUUAGAACACCAAAAAAUCAAAACCCUUAUUUCCUCUUUUCUCUUCUUUGCACUCCACAUCGAGACAAGCACAACCUCAACCCCAGCACACUCACAAUCUCACUCACAAACACCACCGGUGUCAAUUCAACUCAGUUAAGGUGCAUCAGCGUUGCAAUUUUAGAUUCAGAUGCUGCCUCCUUCUUCGUUUCAGAUCUAGUAUUCUUGGGCCCUUCGCUUUAGAUCUAGUCGUUGCCUCCUUCUUCGUUCGUAGUCGUCAGGAGCACAAGGUGAUGUUAAUGUCGAUGAUGUUUACGAUUCCGAUGAUGUUAUUUUUAGUGAUGUUUGCAUUUCGCUGCCUCCUUCUUCGUUAUUGUUAAUUGAAUGUAUAUUUUUGGAAGGAUUUGGUUUUCGGGACUUGGCAAACAAAUCCAAUCUCAGGUUCUAUUCCUCUGUUGAUACCCGUUUGCACUUAUCCAUUAGAAUUUUAUUAUGACGUUGCAACUCUCUGCGUAGCAACUGUAGUUUGUCUUUAACAGGAAUGGCUGCAUCUAUUUCAGCAAGAACUUGUAGGGUUGGCAAAAACCCGGGUCCGGUCCAGGUUUGGCCAUGCCCGGGACUGGACCGGAUCAAUAAAACAGCUGCCCGAACCGGGAUUGUGCCCGAUUUUUUCACAUCCAAUCCAGGUCAGGCCCGACACCUCCCGAGCACGGGUUUUUUAUCCGGGCUUUCUCUGCCCAGAUAAAUUACUGGUUUGCUGUAGUUAUUAAAGAUUCCAAUGAAAUCAACCUUGCAAAUCAUUCCAUUUACGGCAAAUCAAUUCCAAAACCAGCCAAUCUUAAAAUGCAAAAGUUUGAUAUCCAUGGAGCAAUGUUUGUGGUUCUUUGCCAAAAGAAUAGCCUGAAAAACGUGAGUCGAUGAUCUGCACUGCGUGGGUUCGAGUGGCUGGGUUCGCGUCGCGUGGGUUCGAGUGGCUGGUGCUAGGUUUACUGCUGGCUACUGCUGAGGUGGCUUCAUGCAUCGUGGCGGUGUGCUGGCCGGGUUUGUUGGAGGCUGCUGCUGCGGUGAUUUCACGUGGCUGCUGGGUUCGUAAAUCGCUACUUUACUGUUGGUGGUUGUGCUCGUGGCUGCUGGAUUCGGCGAUGAUUGGUCGUGGGUGCUAUUGUCGUGCUGGUUUUGAUCGGUUAGGUGAUGGCUGCUUGAGAGAUGUGUAAGAAGUGCAUACUGCACAGCAUUUAAUUUUAGAUAUUUUUUUAAAGGAGAAAUGCAAAUUAUGAAGAAAUUUGUGCUAUUAGAAUGAAAAAAAAAAUGAACUAAUUUGCAGAUUUUUUAUUUGAAAAGGAUUCAUGCUAGAGAAAGCCAAAAGUAAAGAAAAAGAAAAGAAGAAAAAAAAAAGAACCAUAGUCAUAUAACAGCAUGUGAGGGCUAUCAAAUGGUGCUUAAAGCACUCAAGAGUCAAGAUCUAAGCCAAGUGGUGGUCAAAGCACUCAAGAGCCAAGAGCUUGAGUGCUUUUGCUUUUUGCAAUCAGAUGAUGAUUUUGCAGGAUGUAUAAGACGUUUUUGCAAUCAGUGCUAGCUUGGAGUGUUUGCUGGGGGGGUGUUUGCUUUUUGCAGUUGGCAGCUUGUGUUUCCUUGGAAUGUUGAGUGGUGGCCGCUAGCUUGGAGUGUUGGAGAGCUGGAUGUGCGGCAGCCGGCAGUAGUGCUUGUGUUUGCAUACGAAUAAGAUAGAAAAUUACGGUAAGUUUCAAUUUUGGGUGUAUUACAUUUAUAUAUAUAUAUUUUAACUUAUCAAAACCCGGGCACGGAUCCGGGUUCCGAGUUUUUGGUGCCACAACCGGAACCGGACCUGGAAGUAUCCGGGUUUUAAACUUCAAUAACUGGACCCGUAUUAUUUGUAUAUGCGGUCCGGGUUUUGCCCGGACCUGAUUGGCCGGUUCCGGGCGGGUUUUAUUGCCACCCCUAAGAACUUGCCGAUAUACAUUCUAGAUUAUGCAUAUUUGCUUAACAUCAAUUACGAUUGGCCUUGAUAUGUGCUCCAAACUCUUGCAUAUAUAGAAUUGAACUUUAUUUUUAUUCUGAUUUAAGAUUUAAGAUUUGAGAAUUUAAAAUUUUAGUUGGUUAAUGACGAAUGUUUGGACAAUCAAACUAUUAUAACCCGAUUUCAACCCAAACCCAAAUUUCGAUCUGAAUUACUAACCCAAACCGAACCGAAAUAAUUUCGAUUCGGUUUAGUUUAGGUUUGUCUUUUGAACCCGAUUGGGUUGAAACCCAAACCGAAAUCCAAACAACCGAACUGAAACCUAAUUUGCCCACCCUUAAUUACAGUAAAAUAAUUAUUAUAAUUAUAAUUAUAAUCCAUUUAAUAAUUAUUAUAUUUUAUUUACAUGGAGGGUAUUUUGGGAAUUUAAAAAUUAUAGGGGAUGAAUAAUGAAUUUCAUACUCUAAGGGUUUCAAUGAAAUAAUAUAGAGUGUAAGACGCUGAACGAAAUUUUACAAUACAAAAAGUUUCACAAUACUUAUUAAUAAAUUGUGAAUAAUAUAAAGUGCAAGGGGCUCAGAGAUAUUUUACAGUAACAUUUCAGCAAACAGAGAAACAGCGGCAAGUUACGUUAACUGUAACAUGGGGAAUCCGAUCCGGAUCCAUAUAGGGGGAUCCUAUAAGGAUAUAUUGACAACCUAAGUUCGUAUCCGAGGAUAAGUACAGAUCCUUGAGGGCAAUAACAGACGGCAAUUAAACUUUGCGUUUCCUUCAAAUAUUCGAUAUUCCUCCAUACAUCCGGUGUCUUAUAAACGGGACGAAUUUCGUCGCCGUAGCCGGUAAGUGCUAAAAGUUAAAAGGUUUUCAGAAUUAUAUACCGCUGCCUUCUCCAACUUGCUGAGCUUUCAGCUUUGCACUCUUGAAUUCUGAAUACGACAUUAAUUUUUGUAAUUAGACAGACAUUAACAUUUAACCGGCCCGGCCGGGAACUUCAAGUUGUUAAAUAUGACAUGAACAUUCAGUAUCGGGAACCACGUUGUGUAUAAAGUAAAGAAAAUGCACAAGAAAAUCUUUCAACAUCAUCAAAUCGAGGGCCAGUGCACAACGCUGGCAUUUGCAUUGAGCUUUCUGAAACUGAAACUGAAACUGAAACAGUAACAGCACAGAUUGGCUGAUAAAAUACAUAACUAUAAAUUAUGGAGAUAAAAUUUUUGGAAUUAAAAAAGAUUCCUGAAGUGGCAGAUUAAACUGGAGGAUUGGUCAUCAGAUAGAUGGAACAGACGCGUACACUACACAGGCAGUUGGAAAUAUUUAUACAUGGAACUAACAAGAAUCAGUCAUACCCAACUCCUAAAUUACAUGACAAAACUAAAGAUUCACAAAGCAGAACUGGAUGAAGCGAGUGAUCUUGUAAAAGAAUACAAAAGCCAAGAAUAAUGCACGAGAGAGCAUGCCAUGCUAAGUAAAAAUUGCAGCUGCCAGUGUGGGGAAAGGCAGCUUUCCACAUUAAGCAAGUAGAAACCCUCGGAACAACAUAGUCAGGUGGGUAUCUGAGAUUAUGCCUCCUUAAAACUCAUAAUCUCAUUCCUCAGACAGGAAACCUAAUGUACAUUUGAGCAGAACAUUUCAAACCCUCUCCAUAAACCACAAAACUUUCAUCCCUAAUCACUUUUCUGGUAUACAAAAACAGAGACAAUGAUCAAUCUAUCAAUAAAAAUCCAUCGAAAGAAACGGUACAAAUGAAAAUCAAAUCUGAUUACAACAAAUUCAUACUGCAUGACAGAGGAAAUGUACAUGGAAUGUGGCAUCAUGCCUUCACCUGCAACAUUCUCAAAACAACCAAAACUCUCAGUUCCAGCCCAAUAGAAUGAUGCAGAAGUCCACAAUUUACGACUCCCAUGUGCAGGUAAACCUCACAACUUACAUAGACAAUAAUAAUAAUAAAGGUUAAAAAAAAAGGCACACUUCCAAUGUUCCUUUAUCUUUUAUGUAGAAAAUACAACUAGUUCUACACAUGUUACAAUAAUCAAUUACAAGUGAAACAAUUCCAGGUUACAAAUUACUAAAAGCUCAUCACUGACUAUCCUAAAUCAGUUACACUGCAUCAAAUGUAAACACAAUUGUGCCUCAAAGUCAGUACAACAGUCUUACAAGCUCACAGCGAGCCACAAAUAGUCAAAUAAAUAAUGAAAGAGGCCUUUACAUGUGAUGGACCUAAUACAUGUAACUCAAUUUUACAGAAACAUGAGAUGAUGCUUUACAAAAUGGUAUAUAAACCUAUUAAACAAAAUCCUUUCCAUUUUUUGACAAUUUCAUGGCUUCAACUAUUUCUAGGCAUUCUCUUCCAGGAGAGCAGUUCACACAUUCUUAAGGGCCGCUCGAGGGGGCAAAAAAGUGAAAGCCAAAAUUGUCAAGGCUUGUUUGCACACUUGACAGACCAAAGCCAAUAUUUGAGAAAGCGAAUGAAUGCAGCCCAUCAAACACAUCUUCCUUGGUUGCUACUCCACUCCCUGAAUAUGGUGAUAAAAAGAAAGCCCCCAUGUCAAUAGACUUGGAAAAAGAAAACCUACCAGCCAAAGAGGCCACUAAACUUUCCUCAAAGAGCACUACAUGAUUUUAGUACCAUAUUCCUACAAUCAAUGAAUCAAUCACAAUCACCCAUGACUGGGGACCUCAUGUAAGUCCUACAUGAUAAACAGCCCAGAUUUCACAACAGGGAAGUAAAGCCCUUAACUGGAAGGUGUUUUGCUCUCUUUGAUCAGAUAACAUAUCAAACUCAAGUACGUCCAAAUCCACCCAUUCAUAACAAAAGUCUAAGGGAAUCACACUUCUACAAAACACAAAUACAUUAUUUGCCAUGUGACUUUACUAAAACUACCGUACCCGGCUGAAACUCACAACACCAGAUAUGACAACUUUUCAUUCUAGGAUAAACCAUAAUAAAAUAAUAUCAUACACUAGAAAUUAGGGAAAACAUUCUAUUAUACUAGUUACCACCAAAAUAACGGAACUUCUAAAAUAUAUAAUGAUUUGGAAGAUAGUUCUUUUAUGGCUAAAAUAGUGUUUUGGAAGAAGAAACAAAAGUUCAAAUAGCUGUUUUAAUAUUUAAAAGUAUAUUGAUCUUCAAGAGAACUAAUCAAAUUAAAAUAACUAAUUGAAACUUCAAAGAACAAUCACAAACGAUUAGUAGAAAGAAAAAGAAAGAGGGAAGCAAGAAAAGAAAGCAGCCAACCAUGCCUUCAAGAAAAGCUUCUCUCUCUCUCUCUCUCAUUUUUCUUUGUGAUUUUUUUUCUUCUUUUCGAGUAAAACCAAAAAGAUUGUAUCCGAAGGACAAGAAAAAGAUAUAAAAAAAUUCAAAAAGGUGAACAAGCAAUCCACUGAACCAGCAAACGAAUCAAACAAAACAACCAAACAAAAACAGAAGCACCAAAAAUCAAACACUACUCACGACUUCAAGAAAAGCUUUCAGAAACAGAUUCUUAGUUGACAUUCACUAAGAUACGAAAGAGAAGAUUGGAAGCCAUUUACUAGACCAACAACUCCAAAAAUUGGCCAUCAUAUCCACUUAUCCUUACCCCCAAUUCCAAGCGAAAAAACCUAAAAGAAUUUAACAUUCCAAGUAAUCCACCAGUCCAUAAGCAUAAGCAGCACCACACAUACAUUGUGGAUAUAAUUCAAAAUGGGAGGAUGAAUAACAUAGACUUUAAUAAAUAGUUACGAUGCCCUAGCAAUAUUUGAAACAUUGCUAGUAUGACUUGCUGAUCAAAUAAAACUCACUUGAAAAGAAAAUAAUAAAGGCAUGCUACAUAUCAGCUGUUGCUUCUUCUGAGGAAGGUCAAUUUGAUGGGAAGAUACAAAGACCACAUAUUAAACAUUGUCAAGUCCGAGAGAAACCCCUGAAGUAGGACUUCAUUUUCUAAGACAAGACUAAGAAUCCUUAAUUAGUUGACCAUCACCACUUUGGCCAGCACUUUACCCCUUAUGGGCCGACCCGGUGCGAGCGGGGAUUAGUCUGGGUUGUGGUACGGGCUUAAAGGUGCCUCCCACAGUUGGGGCCCACUCAGGACCACCUCGUGGUUCAGACAAAAAAAAAAAAACUAUUCUAAUAAAAGACAGAUGAAUUCUAAUUCCAAAUUCAAAUCUAAAUGUCAUUUGAAGUGAUACAAAGGACCCAGAAGGCAGAAGGACACAGCUAUCACAUGCAUCAGUUUAAAUAUUAAAGUCAUGCACUGACUCAGACUUACGAGCACCCUUUAAAUACAAUCCCAAUAAAAAUAAUGGGUUGGCAUGGAAAAAAAACCAUAUUCUAUAAUCAACUAUAAAAAAACCAUAUUCUAUAAUCAACAACUACGAGAAGACACAGGUGUAGAAAGCAAUAUGGACAACUAAUUCAAACUAUGAUAUAAUUAGAGUAGGCUUUGUAACAUGUGACCAGAAGCCCCAAAACCAUUGUCUCAGAAAUAGAUUCAGUAGAAUAAAUAUAAAGCCAUUGGGAUACUCGGCAAGGAUAUCAAGAGUCCAACCCUAGAUAGAAUAUCCCCAUUGGCAUGCAACUCAAAGUCACUCAUCAUUUUUUAACAAACAAAUAAGUGUUGGCAGUAACGUUUAUAGAAUGCAGUACGAAAGAACAGAGAAUCUAUGCUUCCCUUCUACAAAUAUGAGAACUUACUUUUCCCUCAAGAAACCACUCUGCAUUUAGGCCACAGUAACCAGGAAAAGCGAUAGGUAGAAGCAUUGUAACAACCCAAGAGCAAUACAGUAAGAUAUAGAGAAUAUGAGGUCUUGUAUGACAUGCCACGGAAGAAUGAAAAGCGUGACUCUGUCACUCUGAUGGUAGCCGUCUCCUCUUCCCAUAGUCCACAUCUCUCGAUCGAGAUCUGUGGUCUUCAUCUGGGAUUACUCCGGACCUGCUCCGAGAUCUUGAAGACGAUUGCCCCUUGUCCCAGUUGUCAUCAUAAGUUGAGUCACGAUCUCUUUGUCGACGAUCACGAUAACUAUCUUUUUCUUCCCUGUGUCUGUGAUCUCUGUGAUCCCUUUCAGAUCUGUCCCAGUCUUGUUCCCUCUCCUCUCGGUGCCUCCUAUCUGUGUUCCCAGACCAGUCACGCUCAGAACCACGAUCCUUUUCCCGGGAGGCAGCAGUUGACCUUGCUCCUUUUUCAUGACUUGCCUCCCCAUACCCAUAAUCAGAAGCACCAUCAUCACCACCAUAACUUGACUCCCUUGUCCUUCGUCCAUAUUCCUCUCCUACCCAUCCACCCAUGCUUGAGUCAGUCCACAUCCCUGGAUGCGGUCCAUCCAUUCCAGAAGAACCCAUCAUACCCAUCCCAUUAGCUGCCAUUCCUCGGUUAAAGAAUGCUGGGUUGACAUGAGGAGCCACCCCAGCAAGGCCCAUUGCAUUAACAGCAGGAAAUGAAGGAAGCAUACCAGGAAAACCUGGACCCGAAAAACCUCCAUAACCACCUCCUCGACCCAUGUAUGUUGGAUCAAACCCUCCCAUCAUAUUCUGUGGAUGCAUCAUACCACCUGCAGGACCCCCAAAGCCAGGACCUGCAAGGCCUUGUCCAUAACCUCCACCAGCAGCAGGUCCAGCACCGCUUCCAGCUCCAGAACUACUCCCAAUCAUGUUCCUUGCACCCAUGGGCCCUCUUCCCCUCAUCGCUCCACCACCAGGACCUCUGUUGGGUACACCCUGCCCACCUCGUCCCCAGCCGCCCCUUCCAAAAUUCCUACCUCCAUCACCACUCUGAUAAUUCGUGUUACCACCUCUCCCACCACCGUCGUUCAUAGGUCUGCUUCCCUGAUUCUGUGACUGAGGCUGGCCUUGGUUUUUGUUCAUGUAAGAAGCUCCCAUCUGUUUCAAUGUUUGAGGAGAAGCAAAAGCCACAACACAUGGUCGUCCAUUGAAAACAUGACCAUUCAUUCCAUCUUUGCACGCAGCUGCAGCAGCUGCAUCAAAGAAUUCGACUUGGCAAUAACCUUUGGAUUUACCACUAGCUCUCUCAUCAAAAAACUUAAUCUCCUUGGCCCUUCCAUACUGAGACAAAACACUUUCAAGCUCCGCAUCAGUUGUCCACCAAUGUAAUUCUCCCACAAACAGCAUUGUCCCACCAUUCUCUAGAGGAGGCCGGAUUUGAUUCUCAUUCACCAUUACACGAUUGACAUUUGCAUUUACACCCAUUUGAUUAGCUGGAAUCAGAGCACCUUGAGGACCAGCAGCACCGGGAUUUAGCACAGGUGCAGGCUCAUUGGCUGCUCUUCCCGGCAGAUUAGAAGGAUCAACUCCAGUUCUUGGGGGACCUGACGUAGACCCUUGAAAACCCAUAUUUCUAACAUGGGCAUCAUGAGUUGUCUCUUGGACACUCCCUUUCUGUGAAACAGAAGCUCCAUCUGGGUAAUUACCAGAUCCCAUGUUUGGUCUGUUGACAGCAACCUGCACAUCAUUUUGAGCAGGAAAGUGGGACCCAGCAUUGGUGUACUUUCCUUCAACAGAAACCCCAGGGAUGUUUGACCCUUGUGAACCCCCAACUUGAACUCGUUGCUCGGGAACAUCAGUUUUCUUAACUUGAAGUCUUCCAUUGCCCACACCAGCGGAUGGGGGAGGUGCCUCAGGCUGCUGAAACUGCAAUAAACCAUCUCCGACAUUAACAUCAUUAUAUAGAUCAUCAUACUCAUCAUCUUCUCCCAUCAACUCUUCAUCUGCAAGAGCAGGUAUAGCUCCACCUCCCUGAUACUGCAUCUUUUGAGCCCCUCCAUACUCGUCCUCCUCAUAAUCUAUUUGUUCUUCAGCCAUCGAAUGCACUUAAGCUGACCAAGUUAUAUCAAAAUAAAGAAAUAUUAUCUCUAUUCCUCCCAUGCAGAACUAUGAACAAAGAUAAAAGACCAUUCAAAAUUGUUCUGCUUCUCUACAUCAACAGGUUUUAGAGCCAAAGAUCACCCAUAUUAAAGACUAACAUAGCUCAAAUUUAAGCAGAAUGUGAUUCAUAUGUAUAAACACAUAAUCAAUACUUAUUAAUACAAAAGAUUCACUACCCACCAAGGAAUACAUUUAAGAACCAUAAGAAACACUUCACCAUCCAUCCCAUAACAUCACAAAAAAACACAAAUCUGCAACACCCGCCUGGUAAAAUUACAUGAAUUACACAGAAACCCUACCCACAAGUGCAAAAAUAACAUAAAUAGGACAAAUCUCCAACACCCACUUCAUAAAGUCAAAAGGACACAAAUCCUUAAAAACCUUUCAAAUUACAUCAUACAGUAAACAAAAAAUUACAUAUAUAUUUCCCUAAAAUGAAACUGAAGAACAUCCGGAUAAGAAAAAAUAAUAAUAAUAAAACGCAGAAUCGAAUCGGGUUUUAUUUAGGUACCCUUACUCUUAUCCCCUCUGAAGAUGUGUGUUUUAUUAACCCUUUAGCUUAAAAAACUAACAGCGCUUGAGCAAAUUGUAUUCACCUUUCUCUUGUUCUUUGAUUUCUGUUUGUAGCUUUGCUUUCUGCGCUGGUUGCACAGUGAAACCCUUAUGGAUUUGAUUCAGGUUUCGUCUUUCCCAGUCGGGCGAAUGGCCAAUUACAUGAUAUCUCAAGUCCCUAUAGAUUUAAUUUAAUAUUAGUUAAAUAAAUUUUUAACCAGGCUUCUCGUAAUUUCUAAGAUUUUAUAAUGGAGAGUUUUUGCCGAACUCAAUUUCAUGCUAUUUUCAUAUUUUUCAUUUGUGUAAUUACACAUUUUACUAGCAUAUAAUUUCCUCAAAAUGAAAUAUUUUAUGACAUUAGAAAAUAAAAUUUUGGAAUAUAGACUUUUUACAUCUUAACAUUUCAACUCAAAUAAUGUAUUACAUAAAGUUAUUAAAUCAUUAACUUUUAUAUGUAUUAUUAUAACAUUUACUUGAUUGAUAACACGUCACUUAACAUAAAAUUUUAUGUUGCUUAGUACUAUUAAUAUUUUAAAUUAAAUAUUAUCCCAUUAACUAAUUAUUAUUAUUAUUAACUAAGCAUUAACUCUUAGACAUUUUCACUUAGGAAGUUUGUUUGAUUUGUCUCGUGUUGAACGAACAGUCCAAUAGUAGUAAAGAACAAAAAUAACAUUAAAUAAAUAAAUCUUACCAUACCAAUGGGCCUUUACUCAAAUGUGACAAGUCUUACAUUUACAAUGUUGAGUGCAAGAGUUCGAGUCUCUAUAAGAGCAUUAUGGAGGUUAGUUUCAGUAUUCCCUCAAUUAUCAACUAAUUGAAUAGAGACAGUUUCUCCCUUAUGAAAUGUGAAUGAAGUAGGCACCCAUCGAAUAUUGUAGAGGGUUUAAAGUAUUUGGUCAAGUACUUCAGUGAGUUAAUAUAAUGUGAAUGGAGUAGGCAUCCCUUGAAAUAUUAUAAUUGUAAUAUCUGAUGAAAUAUCAACUAAUUGAGUGGAGACUGUCUCUCCCUUACGAAAUGUGAAUGGAGUAGGUACCCCUCGAAUAUUAUAGAGUGUUUAAAGUAUUUAGGCACCCCUUGAAAUAUUAUAAUUGUAAUGUCUGAUGAAAUAUCAACUAAUUGAGUGGAGACAGUCCCUCCCUUACGAAAUGUGAAUGGAGUAGAGACAGUCUCUCCCUUACGAAAUGUGAAUGAAGUAGGCACCCAUUGAAUAUUGUAGAGGGUUUAAAGUAUUUGGUCAAGUACUUCAGUGAGUUAAUAUAAUGUGAAUGGAGUAGGCAUCCCUUGAAAUAUUAUAAUUGUAAUAUCUGAUGAAAUAUCAACUAAUUGAGUGGAGACUGUCUCUCCCUUACGAAAUGUGAAUGGAGUAGGCACCCCUCGAAUAUUAUAGAGUGUUUAAAGUAUUUAGGCACCCCUUGAAAUAUUAUAAUUGUAAUGUCUGAUGAAAUAUCAACUAAUUGAGUGGAGACAGUCCCUCCCUUACGAAAUGUGAAUGGAGUAUAGACAGUCUCUCCCUUACGAAAUGUGAAUGAAGUAGGCACCCAUCGAAUAUUGUAGAGGGUUUAAAGUAUUUGGUCAAGUACUUCAGUGAGUUAAUAUAAUGUGAAUGGAGUAGGCAUCCCUUGAAAUAUUAUAAUUGUAAUAUCUGAUGAAAUAUCAACUAAUUGAGUGGAGACUGUCUCUCCCUUACGAAAUGUGAAUGGAGUAGGUACCCCUCGAAUAUUAUAGAGUGUUUAAAGUAUUUAGGCACCCCUUGAAAUAUUGUAAUUGUAAUGUCUGAUGAAAUAUCAACUAAUUGAGUGGAGACAGUCUCUCCCUUACGAAAUGUGAAUGGAGUAGGCACCCCUCGAAUAUUAUAGCGGGUUUAAAGUAUUUGGGCAAGUAUUUCAGUAAGUUAAUAUAAUGUGAAUGGAGUAGGUACCCCUUGAAAUAUUGUAAUUAUAAUAUAUGAUAAAAUAUCAGUAAUAAUCUAUGUAUAACAAAAUUAAAAAAAAAAAUCUUACCAUAAAGAUUGAGGACAAGAGAUAAAGCCAAAAGGGUAGUAAAGUUAUUUAGGAUGUGAUGAUAGCGAUGUAUCAUGUCUAUAAUGUACUGUCCAGAAUUGUGUUAAUAAUAAGAUUGACAAGGGGUAUUAUAUUAUAUUAGGAAAAAUUAACAAAGUUUCCGCCUUCUAAUUGGAUAAUAGGUAACCAAAUUUCUAUUCACUUAUUUAUUUUCCAAUGUUGCCCUUCAACUUUAAAGUCUGAAUUUGGAUUAUGAAGAUCUUAAAAUAAAAUGCUUCUCUUGGUCUUUUUAUUCAGUCAAGUCGAUGAAAGAAGGCAGGAGACUUGCAGAGUGACAUUGAAAUACUGACAAAUGUGGAUGAGAAAUAAAAGCCCUUCGCACGUGUAGAUGGGGCUUUUUUUCCCACGAGUUUCUAAUUGUAAGUUACACGACAAAUGUCGGUGCGAAAUAAAUCAUGUCAUGAUGCCUCUCUUUCUCGCUUUUAACAUUUUCGGGAAAAUUCUAUAAAUAACUUAAAAGUCAAUUUCAAAAAGUAUUUAAUUCACCCAUUUUUUUUCAGUAAUAAAAAAAUAGCAAUAAGGUUGUCAAAUUAUAUAGGCAAUCCACAUGUCAAUCGCCUGUUGAUUAGCCGUGGGUUGGAUUUUUUACUUCUUGAUUGGUUUUUCAUCGUUCAUGAUAAGUUAUUAAAGGAUUAAUCAUUGUCCAAUUUUUGUUUAUAAGUAGACUACUUCUAUACUUAUAUAUAACUUUAAGAUCCCACUACCUUACAAUUAAUGUAUGGUACAUCCCUCACAUAAACAGUGAAUGGAUCCUAUUCAUACACUAUUUAUAAGUGAAGAAUGUAUUAUAUAUUGAUUGUAAGGUAGUGUUUACCAUAACUUUAAGGAGUCCAACUUUAAUAUGUCAAGGAUACCAUAUUCGACAAUCUAAACAAAGUUAAAUAGUUAAAAAAAAUUAAUAAAAAUCAACAAUAUGAGAGCAUUUAAAAUUAUUCAGAUUGUGAGAUACGACGUCUUUAAGCCAAAGCUACUUUCAUAAAUUUCCUAAGUGCAGAUACGAAGACAGAAAAGAAAUUGGACACAAGCUUCUCACCUAUAUCGAUCAGAGUCCCACCUUCAGGUAGGUAAAUGUCUGGUUUAAGUAACCUCUUUUUUUCCCCAAAGGAUUAGUUUUAGGUAACUUGAAACAUCUAUCUUACAAAAGCAUAAUUUUCCCAUUUGUUUUUGUAACAAAACUCCAUCCUAAACGGUGAUGUGAGCUUAAAAUUGGUAUUGUCAGGAGCGAUGCAACCACCCGUAAGACAUAAGUUUCAGCUUUGUAAAAUCAUAACUGUACAAUCAUAAUUGGCACAUAAAUCUUUACCAACCAUAAAGCUCCAGCUGCAUAUGGUGCUACAUUAACCUGGGCUAGAUAUGUAAUCCAUAGCAAUUGCGAUUUCUAAAAAUAAUAAUCAUUAUACAAGUUUCCUCUUUCCUGAAUGAUUAAUGUACAGAACAUGUACCUCAAAAAGAAUUUAAACCGAGGGAAUUCACAUAAACAAAUUUCUAACUCAAAGUACUACUUCAAUUACUCCAAACAAUAUCACCUAAACUUCCUACCUCAAAAUGUACUUGGUGAAAUAAUCUCUCCCAACCAAAAGGAAAAAAAGGGGUAAAAAUAAAAAAAAUUAUCCAUCCUUCCAAGCUGAAUACUUCAUAUGCAAUUUCAGCUCAGUCCCGGUUUACCAAUUUGAUAAUUCUCGUGUUCCGAAAGUGCCAGCAGGGCUUACCCCUUCCUACCAUUCAAUGAAGAAAUCCCGGUCUACCCCUUAUCAAAGAAUCAACACAGGAAAUCCAUUUUUCUUUUUCUCUCAACUGAGCAGCAUCUAAACUGAACACUUUUUACCAUGAGUACAUGUUAACACCCAGCAAAGAUGUGAGGAGUGACAUCAGCAUAGGUUUGAGGCAACUCAUGUAACCACAUAAGGAAAUGCUUUCAGUCUCCUAAACAAUCAGCUGAAAUUGGCCUUUGAAUUAAUACAUUCCCUUGAAAACGGGAUUUGAACGACAUAUGCUUGCUCCAUAUUCUUCAUACUCUGCUUUUGUAUGGCAAGCCUGUACGUUGAGCAGAAACCUCAAAAUCAGAGUUUGGUAAUCCAAGAAUAAUAUAACUCCAUCAUUAGUGAUCACAAGCACAAGCAAUACACAAAUCAGCCAGCCAAAUUGUAAAAGCAGGUAAGUGUGAACGUCAAAAUUUAUCUAAUUAACCGAGUAGAAGUAAUUGAAUGUCCUCUUCCUCUCUCCUACAAUUUUAUCCAAAAAGCCCUUGAUCCAAUUAUAGAGUAUUUAUAUCUUGGCCUAGUUAAAUUAAAUUAUCAUAAUGAGAGAGCCAUAGGUGUCAUACUCCUUGAAUACCAAAUGAGUGUUAUACGUAGGUGAUUAUAAAACGAAAAAGUGAAACUUAAUUAAUUCAACCAUCAACACCAAUCAUAUGGGCUUUUAUCUCAACUUAAAUAUAUAAAAAAAAAAAAGUAUACUAGUUCAGAUCAUAAAAUCAAAUACCAGACGACAAUCAGGAAAACCCAUUCGUUUACAGUUGACUAUACCUAUUAGGGUUUGCCUACCUUACGUUAAACGUAAGGUAGCAGCUCCCUACCUAUUAAUAUAUAAUAUGGAUCUAAGGCUUUCAGAGUGGGGAGAACAUCACACUAGAAACAUUUCUUUGAAUUUAAACCCUAGAUCAAAAGAAACCAUUAAACACCACACCCCCCCCCACCCCCCCGGUUUCCUCUUUUUCCCUUUAAAGAAAGGGAUCAGAAGAAACCUUCAAAUCUAAAAGAGGCAGUAAAUUAGACAUGCAGCAGACAUACAGGAAGGAGAUCUUGGGAUAUGAGAAGAAAGCUGAAUAUGGGCUUGCAGAUUCAAGAGAAAUGGGCACUAUUCAUCACAGUUUCAAACUGAGCAUACCGCAAAAAAUUCAGGCGUCGAAGCUAGUACAGAACCACCAAACCACACUGCAUAUCUCUGAAUAGCAUGGCUGACAACAUUAACUUCCACAGGUUGUGCCUAGAACCAAUUACAAAAGAAAAGAGAGAAUGAACAAUCAGCUUACCAUUUCUAUUGUUAAUAAUCAUCAAAGUUUUCUCUAGUAUAAAUUUAAAAGUGAUUCACAUAAAUGAAAGAAGUAUUUACUUUUACUUCCCCACCAAGUCGAGCAUCAGAUGCAAGAACCCGGGCAUCCACAAUCUUCUUCAGAUCCCGUUGCAACCUUCUAUGGAAGUCCUUGAACAUAGUUGAACCUCCAGAUAAAACUAUAUUCUGAGAUACCAAACAAAACCAAUUACUUUGGAAAGCUCACAAACAUGAAUAUCUGUAGAUCUUUAAAUUUUGCCAAAACAGAGGUAUAACAAUAAACAAAGCUAGAUGUAAUCACACUACAAGGAGCAACGUAGGUAUGGAUAGUUAAGAAAAUAGGCAACCAGUAUAUAAACUUAAGGCACAAAUGAUUGAAGUAAAUUUUCAUUGGUCCUGCAACGACCAACAAAUCGGAGUCCCACCUCAACCCUGGCAGUGCAGGUUGUUCUUAUGGUUUCAUUGUGAUUUAUCUCAUCUAUGCAUUCUUUUCCAUUUAUAAGCUUAUAAAUACCUUAUACAAAGCCCUUCUUGUGUCAAUUGGUGCAGACUGGAUACAUUUGUCUAUUACAGCCGGUAAAGGAGUGGUAAAAUCACUGCUAUAUAUCUCAGGAUUAAAGAACACCUAUCAAACAAGGCAGGUCAUCAGAAUGUCCAGCAAAAAGCAGCAUAUGAAAAGCAUAACAUGAUUUUGCAUCAGUCAUCUUAUACUACUGAAACUUCAUUUAUUAGAAUUGGAAGAAUGCCUAAGGUGCCAUUCUGAAAGAUAAACAAUUCUCUAGAUAGAAAACAACCAACCUCAGGGCCAAGAAAUCGUUCAUAACCUAUAUCACAUGAAUAUGGUGCCCCUGUCUUCGGUUUGAUGCCCCUCCAUUGCUUGAAAUAUUUUGAUGGUUCUUUGUCAUGCUUGUUGUACUCCUGGGAAUCACUGAAGGAAUCAUCUAUGUUUCUCACGGACAACAUAAAUAAUCAACAGAAUUAAAUUACAGAAAAAUUCAACUUAAACUUUUCAAGGAAGCAAACCUUGACAAUAUCUGAACAUGUAUAGCAAUACAUUUCCUUCACCUUCCGAGCUACUUCAAACGAGUCUUCAGGUGGUACAUUCUCACCUCUUUCCUACAUUAAACAGUGAUUAAGAAAAAGAAACUGUGAGGAUCAAAUUAUUAAUGUACAAUAUAUCUUGACUUGUGAACAUGUCAUUCAAUAACCCUUUCUGAAGUCUAAAAGCAUGAUGAUUAAUCAACAUUAACCAGUAAAACAAUCACUAUUAGAGGAAUCAUGAGAAAAUAGGAAAAUACCACGGUGACAUGUCCCAAAUCACAAGAAAUAGAGCUGCAUGAUAGACUGUCACACUUUGAGGUUGGAUUUACCUCAGUACACAGAGUAUAAAUAAGGUGUUCAAAUUCACAAGAAUUGAAAUGGAUACAAGACGGAAGAAUCACUACAUUUCUCAACUCAAAUGUCCAAGGAAAUUAAUAGAGUCCAAUUUAUUUAAUAAAAUCUACUCUUCCUCUCAAAGCUAUUAAGUGUUUUAUUAGUCACAUUCUUACAAUUCAAAAGGCCAGUACAUUAAGAUGCCUCAGUAAAAUACAUCACAGGAGUGCACAUUAUCAUUUUAGCCCUUAUAAUGCAGCAUUCUUGGCAUUGUAUUUUUUACUUUUGAUGAUAAGAAAUUACAACUUGAACAACUAAACAAAAGCACUUAUUAUUGAUCCAUGGAUUAGAAGAUUUCACAGGAGGUCAGCUCCGCCUCUUUCACCUAAUCCUAGGCUUAUAACAGUCUACGAAUCUUAGACAAUUAACAAUGGAAUUCAAAGGGAAGCCAUGAUCAGAAUUAAAUCAAGAACAAUGACUGCCCAAUAAAGUAAGCACAGACCAGUGAAUUUAUAGUCUAUACAGAGGGAGACAAUGCAAGCAUACCCGCAUGAGCUGCUGAAUGAAGAGAGUGACAUCUUUUCCAGCAAUAGGAAUCGACUUAAUGCUGCUCCCAAUGACAUAGCCCUCUGCGACUGGUACUACAUAAGUAGCCCCAUCUCCAACAUCCACAACAACUCCUGUCAUCUCACACUAAAGUGAACACUAUAUCAAUCUAAACGGAACAAUAUUGAGAAAUUAAAAAAAGGCAAACAGGUUUGGAUUUUAACUAUGGUCUUACAAAAUAAGAAAUACAAGGAAAACAAAUUUCUCAUGACUCUUAAAUCAUAAACUAGUAAACAGGUAAUACUUAUGAAAACUUGUGCUCACACAUCUGUUGUUAUGAAUAUCUAUUUUCAGAACAUUACGAAGAAAAAAGACAAAUCCUAAAAAUUUUACUAUGUAUUCUAUUUAAAAAUAAUCUCAGUUCAAAUGCUUCUAAUUAAAAAAAAAAAACACUUUCAUAAUUAAUGUCACUUUUACAAAUCUCAUGGUUGGGCCUCCUAGUGCUGUGAAUAGUAUCCAAGCUCAGUCAUGUCCUGCAUCGUGUACGUCACAAAUCUUCCCUACCUUUGGGUUAUCCAAAUAGCCGCACAAAUGCACAAUGUUAUCAGAAGUAAAUGUAAUACGAAAGCGAGCAUGUACUGCCAAAGGAGUCUUAUAGCCUCACUAACCAAAUCAUUUUCAUCCAAAAAAUUUUAAAGCCCAACUCAAUGUCACCAAAAUUAAAUGAAAUUGUUAAAAUGACAAGCUCAGACACUGAACGUAACACACUUCAAUCCUAAUAAACUAAAAAUUCAUGAACAAAAUAAAACGAAUACAUUUAAUUAUAGUUUAGACACCAACCUUAGAUGUUGUGUACCCAGCUGCAAGUGCAAGCACCGAAUUCACAGCAAUAUAAAGGCCAGGAACAUUAAAAGUCUCAAACAUGAUCUCACCAGUAUACUCUCUACUCUCAGGAGCAGUGAGCGGGCUCUCGGUCAACAGAAAGUAGUGAUCCUCUGGAUCACAACGCAAGUAAUUAAAUAUACACUGCUGCCAAUACCUCUCCAUAGCAUCCCAAUUAUCAACCUGACCAUGCCUAAUAGGAUAACUAAGGUUAUAGGUACUACUAGAUCGCGAUUUUGUGACUGCUUCAUCUCCAAUAAAGAAGUCAAGGUCGGCCAUUACGCCUGCGUUGUACUGUGCAAGCCAAUUGGCCUUUGACGAAGAUCUUGAUUGAUUUAAAAACGACUCGUUUACAGCUACUACAGUCGGAAGAAUAAAACAUGGCUCUACAUUACCCGCAAAACCCAUCUUAGUAUACCUGCAAUACAACCCAAAAAGCAACAACAAUUUGAAAGUUGAAGCAAGUAAAAAUAAAGAAAUAACGGAACAAAGACCAAAACCCAAUAGGAGCAUUUCAUCAAACAGGUUGUGUACGCAUUCAUUCUCGUAAAUUAGUAAAAAGAAGGGGAACAUACCCGGUGCCGUUGUCGAUGACGACGGCAGGACGAGAAGUGGGGUCCAUUGUAAAGAGAAAGGAGGUGAGAAUCGUGGUGGUGGUGGUGGUAACGAGGGAUCCGCAACUGAGAUCCGAGAGAAGGGUUAAGGCAAUGGAACAUGAUCGUGAAGAAAGUGUUGGUGAUGGUGAUAUACGAAAGACUUGAAUCGCAAGUGAAAGGAGCGACUCAACGCACGGCAGCUUUGUAAGUUGGUACAAAAUCCAACACCCAUUUCAACAACAACACCGAUAAUGGAAAUGAUAAGCCUCUCUCAUCAACUUCUUCAUCAUUGCUAUCACUGUCUUUUCAUUUUCCUCUUUUUCUUUUUUUCUUUUUUUUUUUUCUCCCUCUCUGUUUUCCCUUUUGCCGUAUGUGCGAAUUGUGAUCUCGACUACGAUACUUUUCUUAGCUAUCAAUUAAAAACUACGCACCGCGAUAGCUGCCUCCACAUAGAGACGUUCUUUUUAUCUUUUUGCCCUUUUUGCAAUUAUUUAGACCUCGCCAGACCGACCUACUUCUAAUGUGCGAUCUGUCGAUUUGACUGUCGUUUAGCUUGACGGUGUAUCUGGACCGUUUGUUUUGUUGACCUUUUGACACGUCGAAUUCGUGUUUGUUUCUGCAACUCCGUGGGGCCCACGAGAGUGAUGUCAGAGUAGCCGUGAAUUUCUUUGUUUCUUUAGUCGUGGAACCCGAACGAAUUGGUGAGGAAUUUGAUGGUGCUGAAACCAAUGAGAAUUCAAGGACGUUUGGUGCUCGUGGUCUUUUUAUUUUUCGUUAUAAAUAAAUAAAAAAAUUGCGAGUGAGAAGACCUAAAAUUCUAAAUUCUAGUCAAGCCAAUCUAAAAUAAGCGAAUGAAUUAUGCACAUUGGAUCCAUCUGCAUUUACUUCAUAUUUGAUGAAUAUCGUUUAAAUGUUAGACAAAUUAAGCUCCAUACAUAGUCAUCCCAAAUUGAACAAAAUAAUUUAUCAUAACAAAUAAUAAAUCAUGACUCAAAAACUGCAUGAUCUUCUCAAUUUAAUUUAAGAUCAGGCCAAUCUUUAUAUUCACACAUAUUAAUUACUAACCAUUUAAAUGUAACUUAGGCUAUUAGUCAAGUGGUAAAACACUAUUUUCUCUAUUAGAAUGCAAGAUUUCGAAUCAAUAGGAAACUUAUCAUUUCUUGUAAAUAUUUAUAGUGAUGGAGCAUAUAUUGUCUUUAUUGCUCAUCAAUUUAUGAUUAUUUAAUAAUGAGUGAUGAUACAGUCAUAAACUUUUAUACAAAUUUAUUUUGUAGCCACUAAGUCUUUGGGCAAAGUGGUUGGGCUGCUGCCCUCAUAAGCGUGAGAGCAGCAGUUUAAACCCCCACAAGAGCAUUGUGGGGCUAAAUAUUUAUAAAUUAUUCUCCUUUACGAAAUACAAGUAGGGUAUGUACAUUUCUCUUUUUUUAGGGUCAUUUCGUCUGGGCAUGUACUUCAUAUAAUUUAAUAUAAUAAUGUAAGUUUCAGUUAUGUAUAUAUGAAUUUAAUAUAAUAAUAUAAGUCUCAAUUAUGUAUAUCUGAUUAACAUCGGUGUAAUGUUUGAUAUAAUAGCAGCUGUAAAUCUGUAAUAUAAUGCAUUAAUCUGGUGCAUAACCAGUAUUCAAAAAAAAAAAAACUUAUCUUAUACAAACUGAUAUGGUUUUAAUUCAUUGGUUGAAUGAAAAUAUAAAAUAAUAGAAAUAAAUCAUAUGGGUCAAUAAAUAUUUAAUUCAACCAAUUUUAUCAUGCCACAUCAGUUUGUACAAGAGUUUGUGACUAUAUCAUUACUCUUUAAUAAUUAUAUGAAUUUAUAUUAUUGUAAACUCCUAAUUGUAAUAUAAAAAAUGAAUUUUGGAAAAAAGAAAUAAAAAUAAAAACCAUGCUUCAAACUUGUUGCAAUGGGCUAACUUGGCCCGCGAUCAGCCUAGAUUUGGUGGACUAAGCAGCAGGGAAAUGGGCUUAGCAAUUGGGCUGAGCCUAAAUUAGGUGAUUUACAAUUUUUUUUUUAAAAGGUGAUUUACAUUAUACACGCUAUUUUGUGAGAAGUUGAAUCUUAACAAAUUUAGUUUUUCGUUAUUUAUUUAUUUAUCAUUAUUAUUAUAUUAUUACUUCUAAUAUUGUCAUCGUAGUCAUAUUAUUGUUGUUGUUGUUGUAGUAGUUAAUAAUUUUGUUAUUGGUACUAAUAAUAACUUUUUUGAAUAAUAACAAUAUUACAAUAUUAUAACAAAUAAUAAUAAUAAUUACGGUAAUAAAUUAGGGCAUAUCAAUAAUUUAUGAUAAUUCAUUCAGAUUUCAAAAUAAAAUAAAUACAUUAAUGCCAAUAAAACUCAUUCUUAUUAUAAUUCAUACAAUUUAAAUAAAUAAAUUAUUCUAAUUUCAAUUCUUCAUCCUUAAUCGAACUCGUCCCUCACGUACACAGAAACGACGACGUCGUUAGUGAUUUGAAAUGGGGAGAGAUCUGAAGCUAACCAAGCAAUUCCGAGGCACCAUAAUCCACGCAACUUAGAAUAAAAAUAUUGCGUACAUCAGAAGAAAAUCUGCACCUGUAUAAUUGCAUGUGUGAUCACGUUCGUUAACUCUGGCUGAGCACGUGCAGGGGACACGUGUUCGGCACUUGCGAUACCCAAACUGUGCUCGCAAAACCUGAGCCACCACCGGCAGUCGGUGCAGUGCUUGUCAAUUUUUUUCUUUUUAAUUGCCAACCAUUUCCCAUUCACGAAUCAGGAUAUUGCACUCUCUUAUUCCUUCCUUCCUCCGAUGCUGUCUACAUAUCUUGAUGGGCUCCAGUCACAGCAAAUUAAUAUGCAUAAUAAUUUAUUGCAAGAGAGCAAGUGCUGCGAUAAUCUAAUGAUUUUGCUUAAUACUUUUAAAACACGAGCAAUCACAUCCCGAGCCAAAAUGAGUCAACUGAUGGAAGCUUUUAAUUUAAUUUUAAUAGAGCGAGCGUUUCUUAGAGAGAGAUCCGUGUUUGGUAAGCAUCAAACACAGAUGAUGAUAAUGAAUGAUGAUGAUGAUAAAUUGUCGUGACGGUGGUUAGGGUUCCAAAAAAAUCAGAGCUUUAAUUUAUUAAUCAUUAUUACUACUCUACUCUAUGUAACGUGCUUUUCCAUCACCGAAACCUAACCCAUAAAAAAAAAGCAAACAGAACCAAUUUAAUUUCUUGCAAUUUUGGUCUCUGACGCAUGAGUUAAUUUACUGCAACCAGCAGCCAGCAAAACAGAGAAAGCGUGCCUAUCAGUUGAGAUGAGCUACUAAUUGAGUGGUUGCAGCAUCCCCAGCAGAGGAGCUAUUUUUCGUGAUAUACGGAAAAAGAGAGGUCAAUAUUUGUUGAGGAAAAUAUUGAAUUAUGACAAAAUAUUAUGUUGACGCCACAAAGUUUAUUCUUCUUAGCAUUCUUAAAUAUAAGUAAGAACAUUUGCGAUGUAAUUUUAAAAUAUAUUACCCAUAACGUUAAAAUUAUAAGUUAUUUAGAUAUCAUCAUACGGUAAUAUUGUUGAUCAUAACAUAAACAAUAUUGUCAAUUAGAUAAUUACUCUUUUGUAUAUAAUUUUUUUUUUUGUUGGCUAAAUAAUUUUAUUUAAUUGACAACUUAAGUUCAAAUAAGAUAUCUUUUCUUUUCCUUUACCUGCCCCUUUAAAAAUUAACAUGCACCUUAUGUUAUGUAUAAUAGAUAAGACUUGAGAGGCAGCCCAUUAUCUAUACAAUGCAUACUUGUGACACAAAAGCAGCUCUCUCAGCUUAUGAAUCCCACAAAUCUGUAAUAUGAUCCAAUUGGGGGGACUCCCAUCCGAUGCUCAAUAAUCGCUUUCGCACAGGAAAUGACUUCAGCACCCUCAAUCAACAUCAAAAUCAACCAGUUACCAACAAAAAGAACAGCACUUGGGGGCAAAAUUGUCAUUUCGAUCGAUCAAUCACGACCAUGGGCCACGGCCCGAAAGGACUCCUUCCCCUCACCCAACGAACAUACUCUUCCCCACCUCCCCAAUUACUGCAUUUUUCUCUAAUGCGCACGUUAGCUGUCUUUCCCAUUAUCAUAGUAUAAGCCAAAACACGCGCGAAGAAAAGAAAAAAACAAACAAAUAACAUAAAACAGAAACAAAAGAGUUACGAGCUCAUUAAAGCAACGGUCAUUGCUUUUAUUACUUGCAAGUAUAUUACAGCUAACUUUAAUAAAAUAACGUUGGAGAUACAAUAACUGUAUCCAUGGAAAAAUAGGUGGGUAAGUGUGAAAAAAAAAAAAAAAAAUCAAUACAAUAAUGUGAAGAGAAUAAAGCAUUGUGACCAACCAAUGAUUUUUCUUUUGUUUUUUAGUCAUUGAAUUAUUUUGUGCUAAUUUUCUAUUGGUGGCUUUUUAUAUCAUUAGUUUAUUUGUCAUAAUAACUUUCCGAAUAUGAUUUCUCAUUUUAUUAAUUGAGAAUUAAAUUAUAAGAUGACAAGAUGUAAUGUAUAUUUUGUAUUUCAAUGCAUUAGAGUUUUGUGAUUUUUUUUUUAUUACAAUUUAUUAAACUGAGGGAUAGAGAUAUUUAGCCGUGCUUAGGUGCAUACAUACACAUUUUUAGAUCGUUUAGAUGGAUCUAAAAAAAAAAAAAUACAAAAACAAAAACUUCAAUGUACUAAAAAAUAAAAAUAUUGCAUUUUAAGUCUAUAUAUAUAUAUAUCUUUUAAUUUUUUAGUUUUGUUUGUAUUUUAAAAUCGUUUGAACGUCCAUACCAUUAUAUACACACUUGCACUCAAUUAGUCUCUAAUGGAUAUGUCUUCACUUACAAAAUUGAGGCUCUAUUAAACAAAUUAAACGGGGAAAAAGAAAAUUAUUUUCAAUGCAUUAGAAUUUUUUAAAUCUUUUAUUGGCUUCUAAUAAAAUGUAGUAUCAUGGCCUUUUCUCUUGAUUGAAAAAUAUAUGAUUAAAAACUACGAUUAUAACCACUCGGCUCAGCCUGAGUGGUCAGGGCUGCUGCCCUCCAAGUUGGAGGACAGCAGUUUGAACCCCCACAAAAGUAUUGUGGAGGUAUUUCAUUUCUCAAUUAAUUUGAGUGAAGAUAGUCUUCUUCCUUACCCAUGAGUGAGGAGUAGACAUCCCUCGAAUAUUUGUGAGGGUUAAAAUCUGGGCAGAGCUCUAUUAGCAUUGAUGUAACUUGGUCCCAGUAAUUGUCUGAUUUGUAAAUAUCAGUUAUAGUCUCAUGUAAUAUGAGUUGUAAUCUGAGCAAUUGUAAUCUGAGCAAUAGUAUCAUGUAAUAAAAAAAAAAAAAAAAACAACAACUACGAUUAUUACAAAGUAAAGCCUUAAAAAUAUGCUGUUAUAAGUGGACUUCUAACUUUUAAUCUUGUUAUUCUUGUACUCGUUGUCGAUAUUAACUUCAAUAAAAUAUUAUAAUUUUUAUUUAAAAGUUUUGUUUACUGGCGUCACUUAUAAGCACAAACUGAUUAUUAUUAUUAUUAUUAUUAUUUUUUCCGGUAAUCAUCUAUAUUGUAAUUUAUUUAAAUACCUGUUCCUCCAAUUCUUAGCGGUUGUAAAUAAAUCACUCUUUUUAAGUUUUUAUUAAUCUCAUAGUCGUAGGCGCUAGCCUAGCUUGGAGAGUUGGAGGGCAACACUGACUCUACACUGAAUUCUACUGACCACUGCCAUAAUUAUGGAUCUGUUAGCGCGCUGCACGACAUUCAUAAAUUGCAACUGCCUCCGCCUCCGCCUCUCACAUUGAUCCCCAGUACUCACCGUUUCGCUCCCCGAUCUUAUGUCAUUUCCCAAACGUUUCGUUUCGCUCUCCGUCCCUCCUUCGAGCUCCGAUCGGGUCUCGCAUUUCGCUCUACCCGUGCCCGACCCGAGCCUCCUACACCAUACGGAACUCCUCCUCUCACUGUAUUCAGCCGAAGGAUAUAAAACAUUUAGGUGAUCCGUCGUCGUUUUUGAUUGUGAAUGCUUUGGUGCUUGUAAAAUGAAUCCUCUGUGCUGCAUUGCUCCGGUUUCCAUCGAUCGGGACCGGGCGAAUCCCGUGGUUGCAAAAUCGACAGCUCAUUGUCAGUUAGGUCAUGAAACAGCCGCUGUUAAAACAGUUAAACCGAGUUUGUCGGCUCAGGUCUCCUCCGUCGGUACUGACUGCGAUAAGUCGUCAGCUGCUAACGUCGUCGUCGAGUCAGUGACAGAAUCUCGUUAUAACGGAAAUGGCGGAGGCGUGAGUGCCAGCGUGGCAGGGAUUUUGUACAAGUGGGUGAAUUACGGUAAAGGAUGGAGGUCGAGAUGGUUCGUGCUUGAAGAUGGAGUGCUGUCGUAUUAUAAGAUUCAUGGACCGGAUAAGAUUUUGAUGAGUCCGGCUAGAGAUAACAACGUUAGAGUGAUCGGUGAAGAUUCCAUUAGGUUUAUGAGAAAGGCUAACUGGAGUAGUCACCGGCUCGGCUUCGCUGCUCGCCAAUGUAAGCCUUUUGGUGAAAUACACUUGAAGGUUUGUUCCUUUAACUGCAUAGAUUUUAAUUUGUUUGUUGAUAUGUUUGUCGUCCUUGAUGCCAUUAGAAAGUAAAGUUAGAAUCUUAAUGGCAGCCAAUUUUGUUGACUUACUUGCACUUGCCUCUUUCCGUCGAAGUAUUCAUUGUAUAGAUGGAGGUUCAUUUUGUUAAUUGAAUCUUUAAGUUUAGGAGUUAGGAUUAUGUUUGGAUGAAAUAUUAAUGAUCGAUAUCUCUAGUAUUUUUCAAAUGAAUCCGAUAUUGUUCUACUGAUAAAUAAAGCAUACAUUAUUAGGAAAAUAAUGCUGGUCUCUUUGAGUGGUUUCUGAGUUUGAAGUGAUAUGGUGCGCAGGUAUCUUCAGUUCGUGCAAGCAAGUCAGACGAUAAAAGGCUUACAAUAUUCACGGGAACAAAGACUCUUCACUUGCGUUGUAUAUCUAGAGAGGACAGAACUGUGUGGAUUGAUGCACUGCAGGCUGCCAAAGAUCUCUUUCCGAGAUUAUUGACAAGCACUGAUUUUUCACCUUCUGAAGAUGUUGUUGUUUCAACCGAGAGGUUACGAUUACGAUUAUUGCAGGAAGGCGUUGGUGAUUCAGUAAUUAAAGACUGUGAGUCUAUUAUGCUCUCAGAACACUCUGACCUGCAAAACCAGUUGAACGCUCUUCAACGUAAACAUAUAAUGUUACUGGGGACCUUGAGGCAACUAGAGGUAUUUGACAUGAUUUCAUUUUUCAAUUCAGUUCUCUAUCUCUUGGUAAAUUAAACAAAGUCUUGGGAAGGAUAAUUGAGUGUGUCACCAUUUGCAUUGGAAUUAGUGAGGAGGUUGUUCUGUUUUCUGUUCUUCUUUGUUUUUUUGGAAACAUUUCACAGAUUUAGGUUUUGCCACCAAUCACUAGGUUCAGCCUCAUCUUUUCGUACAUGAUAUAAUCAUUAAUCUAUAGUGACUGGCAUUAUAAAUUCUGAGCUGAAUCAUCGUGAUUGUCUUGUAUUAUUUAAUGGUACAGAUGUGUUUGAAUGGCAUAAUUAAUUGGUUGGUUUAAGUUGCUUCAGUUACUCAAGUUUCAUGCAGCCAUUUCUUAGUGCCUCUUGAACUUUUACCAUCUUAUGAUUUUCUGCAUUGUUGUUAUUCCAGCUCAUGUCCUCAAUUUCCUUGUGUUUUUCUCCUAUGUAAUUUUUUUUUCUUUUGGUGAUUUCUCCUCUUAAAAUUGUUUUGCAGACAGAAAAAAUGGAGCUGGAAGCUACUGUAGUGGAUGAGACAAAGGAGCGUGAUUCUUAUUGCGGACAAGGGAAUAGAAGAUAUAGUGGUUAGUUCUGCUUUUUUAACUUCUUCAAUGGAAAUAAUUUAUUUCAUCCAUUUUUCUUAGAAUAUAAACUGACCAUGUCUAUUAUACAUAUGUAGAAGCUUAAUAUGUGUGAAUAUGUACUUGUUGAGGGUGAAUACAAGAGAGCCAACAUAGUUGGAGCUUGGUUGAUUUCCUUGAACAUUUAUUUUAUUUUGCAUAAUAAUAUUGUUAACCGACCACCGGAAGCUCGUAGAAAUCAAAUCUGUUAUUGUUUAAGAAAAUACAACUCAUCCGGUAGAUAUGCUUAUAAUUUUCCAAAUGAAGCAUUACAGUGAAAAAGGUUACAUAUUCACAUAUACUGCCAUGCAGUUGGCGAAACUGAAAAAGGGCCAUGUGAGCAUUCCUUAUUAUUUAACUCCUAAUUUCUUUGCUUAUUAUGAAACUGUUAAAAUUAUUAUUUUAACUCCUCAGCGGUAUAUGUUCGGUCCCUAGUUCCUAAUCAUUCAAAUAGAAACACUUAAUGAAAUUGCAGGAAGAAAAGUUGUAUUUUAUUUUUCAUUUUAAGCAAAAAGUAUUGGGCAGAAUUUCUUGUAAUGAGUUAAAACUCAGAAUUUUUAAUUUUUUGCUGAUUUCUUAGCUUCUUCAUGUCUCAGAUUUCUAUUCCGUCAUGUCUGAGGGCAGUGCAAGUGAUUCUGAUGCAGAAAAUGAAAGUCAAGAUGGAGCAGAUGUUGAAACAGAUGAAGAUGAUGGAAUAUUUUUUGACACAAAUGAUUUUUUGUCUUCGGAGGCUUUAAGAAGUGUCUCUUAUCGGAGUAGGGAAGCAAUGGGACACGCCUGCAUAUAUGACAAAGAACUUUUAUUUUCAGAUCGUUUACGAGGGGUUGAAAAUGAAAUCAGACCAAUACAGUAUCCAUAUGUUAAAAGAAGGGAUACUCUACCAGAACCAAAGGAGAAAGAGAAACCAGUUGGCUUAUGGUCAAUUAUUAAGGACAAUAUUGGAAAGGACUUGUCUGGAGUUUGUCUCCCAGUUUACUUUAAUGAACCACUGUCUUCACUGCAGAAGUGCUUCGAGGAUUUGGAAUAUUCAUACCUGGUCGAUCAAGCAUCGGCAUGGGGAAAGCAGGUCAGGUCCUCUGCUUUGCUUUCUUUUGAGGCAAACCAGUUUUAAACCAUGAUCUACCAGUUAAAUUACAAUCCAGGUAGUUCAUGUAUAGGCCUUAUUUCUGAUAGAUUAAUUAUCUUAUUCGCUUAUGUGGAUUAGGUCAUGACUGCUUUGGCUAACAAAUUUAAGCUUUGUUCUUGGUUCACUAUAUGUAUUUGAUGUGUUCUUGGUUCACUAUAUGUAUUGGGUGUGUUCUUGGUUCAAUUAUGUAUUUUGUAUGUAGUUUUGAUGACCCCUUUUAACCUUCAACCAGGAUUUCGUAAAUUUAUUCAUGAUAACCUCUUCUAUCCACAAUUUUUUCUUGUUUGAUGGGAUCUUAGGGAGGAUCUAAGUAAUUUUACUUCCCAAUUCUUAACUGCUGCUUUGGGAUCUCAAAAACUUGAUACCGCUUUACUCCCCACUGCGAGGAGCCAGCUGAUCCUACCGACCGUAGGACUUCUGGUCAAUUUGUGAUAUGUGUAAAAGGGUAGACAAAAUAUGUGAUUACUAUUCAGCUUCAGGUGUUCUUGUCCUAGUCUAUCAAGGGAUUGCUCCUUAACAGUCUGUACCUCUAUAAACUUUGGAGCUUCUCUAUGAAUUAUCUACUCCUAGGACAUUUAAGUUCCAAUUACAAGACAUUGCCAAACAGCACGUGGUACCCAUAGGGAAAAAGGAUAAAAGAGGAUUGUUGCAAUAUGAUCAAAUAUGCUGAUUUGUGGGCCUCUUGGUUGAUUGAGUGACGACAUUCAGAAUGGCUUGAUAUUCAGUGGGCUGUGGGUUUUGUUCAAGAUAAUCUGUUUUCCAAAUAAGCCUGUUUAGGACAUUUAGUAGAUGUGUAGAAGUUGCAAAUAUCACUUCCUUUUUAGAAACAGAAAUGGUUAUCAGUGGAAAGUGUUCAAAUAUUUUUCCUUUUAAGAAGUAGUUUCUAUUGGGUUUCAUAUAUUUAAGCUUAAUAUUUGCUUUCACUAAGAAGUCUACAGACAUUCAGAACUUGCUUUAUAUUGUAAAUUUUAAGUGGGUGUUGACAUUGUUUUCAUUCCAUGCUAACAAGGAAUGUCUAAGAUAAGGAAUUUACAUGGUGCAGGGGAAUGAUUUGAUGAGAAUUUUAAACGUUGCAGCCUUUGCUGUAUCUGGCUAUGCAUCAACUGAAGGUCGGCAGUGCAAACCCUUCAAUCCUCUUCUUGGAGAAACCUAUGAGGCUGAUUAUCCAGAUAAAGGACUCCGCUUUUUCUCAGAAAAAGUAGGUUUCUUUCUUCCAACUGAAAAAGCUUGUUUCUUUCUUCCACUAUUAGUAAACUUUUACCUGAAAAUACUGGAGAGAGUCAAAAUUGAAUUCACCUGUUAAAUUUUGCCUCAUUUUUAACGAAGUACAUGACGCUGACAUCUAACGCUUUUCUGUUUAUCACUUGUUAGCUGACAAGUCACUUUCAUUUCAGGUGAGUCAUCAUCCUAUGAUUGUUGCUUGUCAUUGUGAGGGAAGAGACUGGAAAUUUUGGGCUGAUUCCAAUCUCAAAGGGAAAUUUUGGGGUAGAUCUAUUCAGCUUGAUCCUGUUGGUGUCCUAACCCUGCAGUUUGACGAUGGCGAGACCUUCCAGUGGAGCAAGGUCACCACUUCCAUAUACAAUAUCAUACUUGGGAAAAUUUAUUGUGAUCACUAUGGCACCAUGCGCAUUAGGGGCAGUGGCAAUUACUCAUGCAAACUCAAGUUCAAGGAGCAGUCUAUCAUUGACAGAAACCCACAUCAGGUAACUUUUGUACUUGAAACAGACAUCAUUGGGCACUCUUAUGUGUUCACUUGACGGACAACAGGCUUUUUCUCGUUGCAUGUCUGCUGUUUCUGUUUCUGUUUUUUAUUUUUAUUUUAUUUUUUUAAUCUUGACAAAAAAACAAAGGUUUUCUUAGGAACACCAGUUUUACCAAUUCCAGGCAUUUAAUUAUCUGCAUUUGAUUUAUGAUCUAUCCGGCAGAACCUUCAUUCUUUUCAUAAGAUACUAUUUGGAGACUAUAUAUCCUUAAAUAUGUGAAAUACUGUAUUACAAUGAAAAUAACUUCUUAAAUAUGCACUUAAAACAUACAUGUAUAAUUUAACCAAUUGAUUUCUUUUUUAAAAAAUUGAGUUUAGGUUCACGGAUUUGUGCAAGAUAAUAGAACAGGAGAGAAGGUAGCGAUGUUGGUGGGUAAGUGGGACGAAGCUAUGUACUAUGUUCUGGGAGAUCCGACAACAAAACCUAAGGGAUAUGAUCCAAUGACCGAAGCUGUGUUGCUGUGGGAAAGAGGCAAAACUGUUACCAAGACAAGAUACAAUCUCACCCCAUUUGCGAUAUCCUUAAAUGAGCUGACCCCUGGCUUAUUGGAUAAAUUGCCUCCAACAGACUCAAGGCUAAGGCCAGAUCAGAGAUACUUAGAAAAUGGAGAAUAUGAAUUAGCAAAUGCGGAGAAGCUGAGACUAGAACAGUUGCAGAGACAGGUAUUCACCUAGAGAUCUUCUGUCGUGUUUCUCGUUGGAUAUACGAGGUCUUAUGAAUUUAGGGUAUAAAUUACUAAUUCAUUUGAUUUAGCUUGGGACCAGGUAUACAACUUAGGGCCUAUUUGGUAUUGUCGUUGGGCAGCUGUAGCUUUUAAGUUAAAGCACUAAAGUAUUUAGUAAACAUUUAUUACUAUGGUUUGGAAGCUAAGUUGAAUUUAUCCCACAAUUGUAUGAUGAAAAAUCUAUAAUAUCUUUAUUAUUUUUAUUAAAAUUAUUAUUCAAAGGGUCAUAUUUACAGUAAAUUUAUUAAUUUUAAUUUUAUAGCUAUAACUUUUUCCCCACUACAGGUCUAGUCUUGCAUUUACUGUUAGCAAUACACUUGUCAGAGUUUGGGUUGUCUCUCAAAGAUUUGGCUGCUGGCAUGAACACACUUGACUUAAAAACUCUACAAAUGACUAUGAAAAGAAGGAACCCUACUCACCCUCUAUGAUGAAGAUAAUAUUUGGUAGAGUAUUGCGCAACUAAUAUUGUUGCCUUAAUCUAAUGUAUUUGAAUUGAGUUCCAUGUUCCUGUAACUUACCUUCGUAAGUCUAGAUCAGUUCCAGCACUAGUUUACAUAAUUCAACAUGCCAUAACAUUGAACUUUCUUCUAUUUCUUUUACUAGGUAGAAAUAACAUUGAGCAACUUUUAUUUUCUUUUUAACGCAGGCAAGGCAAUUACAGGAAAGUGGAUGGCAGCCAAGUUGGUUUUGCAAGGACGAGGAUGGUUGUUAUCGUUACAUGGGUGGCUACUGGGAAGCAAGAGAAAAAGGGGACUGGGGCGACAUUGCUGAAAUAUUUGGUCAGAGCAGUGAUUCACCUUCAUGUUUAGUAGAAGAAUAGGCUGUCCUUCCACUCAGGUUGCUCUGUAGUUAUACUGUUGUCAUAUUUCCUUUUUCGUUCCCCAUUCCAAUUGUUGUCUAUGCUAAUAGUUACUCAAAAUAUUAGAUUAGACUUAGCUUCCGUGAUGUUGAAACUGGAGUCUCUUCAAGGUGUAAGGCUAUUGCUAGUUUCUUGAAGCUCUAGUAAACCGAGUAACCAACGUUACCAUUACAGGUGACCUGGUGGGUAUUCUACAUGCUCAUAACCUGCGGAAUUUCAUUCUCACUAUCAACUUGCUGAUAUUUCGAGCAUUUAGUAGUCUACUUAAAUGCUAAUACAGUGAACAGAUUAGAUAUUAACACACUCAAUUGAGUUGAGAUAUCAAGAAAUUUAAGUGGCUUUAAUGGUGGGUUACGUGUAGACUUGGCAUUAGUUAAUAUGUAAUAUGUUAGAUCAUCUCAUCUCAUCAGACGUCCGAGAUAAGGAAUGCAAUUAAAUUGAAAAUUGGAAACAAAAAUGUUUUCUUUGGACCACAUGCUCGGAUAUACAGAUAGAAUAAGCUAUAUCUGACGCAAAUUUCAAAACUUGGUUCGUUCCCCAAAUCAGGAUUAUUUCCACGCUUUCCUUCCUCGGAACUCAAAACUUGGUUCGUUCCCCAAACCAGGAUUAUUUCCACGCUUUCCUUCCUCGGAACUGUUUGCCCGCUCGUUGCUGUUUUUUCUUUUUCUCUUGUCGAGAUUUAGCAACUUUGGCUCUUUUUGCAGCAAGAGGCAUAGCCUUCUUGUGUUCUUUUUGACGAUUGCUCAAACCACCCGUCUGAUCGCAACAUUACAGGAUAUCAAAAUGGUGAAUCAUGCACAAGUUUGUGCUUUUGUAAUUGGAAAGAUUAACAGUAAGGAGGCCAUUAAAUAUGUCAGCAAGCAGUGUCUUAAGGAUAAUUGAUUGAAUUAAUUCAGCCAGUCAAUCAAUGGUUUAAAAAUAAUAGACAAUAAAGCACUGUAAAUACAAGUGUACCUUUUUCUGUUUAAUAGCAGCUCGAGCCAUGUACUUCCCUCUGUCUUCCCUCCCUGCUCUUAUUAAUGCAAGCCUUUCCUCUUUGCUUAACUUUUGCCGUACAUGAGCCUAGAAUUUCCAUGAACAAGUCAGUCAGUCAAAAUGUGUUCAUGGCAGCAAAGAAGAAAAGGAACAAAAAAGGAACAUGACAAAGGUAAAAUUGAAAGGAAAAGAUAUAGGAAUAGAAGAAUUUGGAAACUGGGAUGAAAAUAUCUCUUUAUCCAAUCAAUUCAAUGAAAUCUACUAUUUCAAAAUGGCCUUAAGCUGAUGAAAUUUCCAUCUGAGUAUACUAACUACUUAUUGCACACAGUUCAUUACAUUGUAGUUGAAUCUCACUUCAAGCAUGCGUAGAGUUCUCAGUUUAUAUAGGACUAUCAUAUGGUCGAAGCAGUCACACAAUCCAUCAACCAACUACGCUUCCAAGAUAUAAGAUACCUCUACCUAGUCAUUCAUUCUACAGUUUCUACCUAGUAUCCGAAGCAUAUAAAAUUGAUUCCAAUUAGCAUUGCCCUGCCCUCCAGAAAGCUUGCAGUUUUUGAGCUUAUGAAAUCCCAGUGACCAACAACAGAGCAAGCUGAAAAUAUAGCCAAUAAAGGCAUAGAAAACUUACUUCAAGCUUGACUGGGUCCACACGCUUAAUGCUCAGUUGAUCAGAACUUGGAACCUUAAACCCUUGCUGAGCCAAAGCAAUCUUAGCCUCCUUCUUUGCCUAAAAAAAUAUUCCAAAGAAGAACCACAGAAUAAAUGCAUAAAUUUGUAUAUCCAACAUAAGUUAAGGAAACUGGUAUGAACCAGUAGUCCAGUCAGUAAGGUUCAAUAAAAUACACGUGUACACCAUGCUUAAUUUUUGGAAUAAACUUGAGAACAAGUUGGCACACCUUUAGUUCUUUGAUCCUCUGGAAAUCUUCAUUAGAAAGAAUGCCAUCACUUGAGUCAGAGGACACACAGCCUAUUUUUGCUUCUGCCAAUCUCUUCAGAGCUCGAAGACUUGUGUCAGCAGCAAUAAGCUGACCAUCAAAAUCAGAAAACUUCCUCUUUUUUGCCAUAGAUUCUUUGGUCACUGGACUGCCGUCCCCGGCAUCACUUUCACUGUUUUUAGAAUCACAACCUUCUUCAAGCUCAUCAACAUCCUCUGCCUCUAACUCCUCUUCUUCAUCGUCAUCACCAUCGAGAUCAUCUUCACUGACACCACUAUCAUCGUCAAUACUAUUAUUAGUAUCAUUGUCUUCAUCUAUUGCAUUGUCAUCUCCACUAUCAUCAUCCUCACUUCCAAUAGCAUCACCAGAUAACUGGUUUUCUUCAUCACCAUCAGUGUCAAUAUUCUCUUUAUUAUCGUUAUCAUCAUCAGAGCCAUCAGAGGCAGAUUCAUUUCCAUCACCAUCUUGUAGUAACUCAACACCAGGAACAUUGCUAGCAACACUGACUUCCCCGAAUGCUCUAGGCCUGGCCUUGGGGUCAGUGGGGCGGCCACGAUCCUUCUUGACCAGUAAAGAAGGGCACACCUGCAAACAAACAAGUAAUUAGUCUACCUAAAUAGACCAGGCAUAUCACUGCAGACAUUGUUCCUACACACGCUAAAACACAAUAGCACAGCAGUAGAAAGUUAUUAAUACCUCUCUGAACAAAGUUAUAAGUGAUCGAGCAGCUGCUGAAACUGCCUUUUCAUGUGAUUUCUUAUAUAAUACAAGAUCUUGCAGCAAAUCGUCUGUCAUCAACUAGAAGCCAAAACAAAUAAAUAAAUAAAUAACGUUGGAACAUUGUAAACAUGCAUUCAUCUAAAAGUAGUACAGAAGAGAUAAGAUGGAAAUAUGAAAUGAGUCCAGAUAUUAAUAUAAAGAACAAAAAAAAGGAAUUGUUCAACCAUAGCUAAAACAACGCAUUUCAUGUAAGUUGCGACAUUUACAUAUGAGUUAAUCAGAUUUUGGGGUGCACCAUCCAAAAGGAAACGACCACUAUAGGUAGUUAGGUACUUACCAAUGGCAUGCGCAAGCAUAUUUCCCUGACAACAUUCAGUCCAACAGCAAUUGCCUAAAACAAGCAAAGGUAAAUGAUACGUCAAUCUGUCAUUCAUUGAAAACAAAAUAUGAAGCAGCUAUACCUCUGUACGUGAACGAUCGUGUACAAACUGAUUAACUAUCUGUUUAAACAAAGGUUCAACUGCAUCAGGAGGCACCUGGUUUAUUGUAAGCAGAAUUAUAGAAAGUAAGAAAAGAAAAUAGAAAAGAACUGUUAAAACUCAAUUGGAAGAAUAAAUAACUAAAUAAACAAACAAAAGAGCUUCACAUCAAAUCCAAAAGAACAACAAACAGAAGCUAAUUGUACCAUAUCAUGACAAGCCUGAACUGCUGCUGCAAGCAAAUUGGUGAUAUCACGUUGAUGAGGCUGCAAAAGCCAAUACAGUCAUACCUCUAUUGACCAACAGAAUUACAACUUCAACGGAUAAGUUAGAAUUAUAUACCUGAACGUAUUUUUGGAGAAAAGGGUAAAAAUUUAAUAAAAUCAACCGGUGAAGCCCAAUUAUUCGAGCAAUCACUUUCAGUAUCAUCAUUUUGACCUGAUGUUCACAAAAAGAGUAAAAGUCAAAUAGAUAUGCAAAACAAGUUCUGGUGAGAACUGAGAACUGAUCAAAUAAAAACACAACCAAAAGUUUCCUCUAUAACAUAAUGAAAGCCCAACAUCUGUGUCCAUUAGGUAAUCCCAACCUUGACUCGCAGCAAUGCGCAGUGCGGAGAAAUUACUGAUAAAUAAGUAUUGUCAGAAAAAUUCAUUCACUAUUACAAUGUCUUCAAUCUUUGUGCUGACCUAAACUCUGUUUGGGAUUGAGGUUGCAUAUCUGUAGUUUAAAAACUAUAUUACUAAAGUGUUUGACGACAUUAGUUGUUGUAGCUUGGAAGUUAAGUUGAUUUGAUUUUACAUUUGUAUGAUGAAAAAAUUUGUAUAUCUUUUAAAAUUUUAUCAAAAUUAUAUUUACUACAUUUGUAUGAUGAAAAAUAGGACCCUAAUCAACCUCAAAUUUUAUUGUUCAUAUGAUUUAUCUCAGUUAACAUAUAAAACCUUCUUCAGUUUCAGAAAUUAUUUGAACAAAAUGGUAGUUGAUAUAAAGCUUACUUGUUUUCAUAGGAAGCACUAAUUAAUCAAAUAAACAAUGACCUCUCCCUUUCCAAGGCUUCCCUUAAGCAAUUGCAAAAUGCAAA